UCCUCAUCCGAUGAAGAGGAUGAUGAGUCGGAGUCGGAUAGUGUCGUGACAAGAGCCUUCUUCUUCUUGUACUUGCUCCCCUUCUUCAGUAAAGGGCACUCAGCUCUUAUGUGACCCGGCUUCUUGCACUCGUAACACCCAAUCCCCUCAUUUUUCCUUUCCUUACCUUUGUCCUUGCAGUAGGAAUUUGAGGGGCCUCUCCUUUGAUGAUAAGACUUCUUGUGGUUGAUGAAUUUUCUGAAUUUGCGCACAAGAAGAGCCUCACCAUCAUCUCCCUCAAGCUCUNNNNNNNNNNNNNNNNNNNNNNNNNNNNNNNNNNNNNNNNNNNNNNNNNNNNNNNNNNNNNNNNNNNNNNNNNNNNNNNNNNNNNNNNNNNNNNNNNNNNNNNNNNNNNNNNNNNNNNNNNNNNNNNNNNNNNNNNNNNNNNNNNNNNNNNNNNNNNNNNNNNNNNNNNNNNNNNNNNNNNNNNNNNNNNNNNNNNNNNNNNNNNNNNNNNNNNNNNNNNNNNNNNNNNNNNNNNNNNNNNNNNNNNNNNNNNNNNNNNNNNNNNNNNNNNNNNNNNNNNNNNNNNNNNNNNNNNNNNNNNNNNNNNNNNNNNNNNNNNNNNNNNNNNNNNNNNNNNNNNNNNNNNNNAAACAGAAAAUACUCAAAGCUUAUUUGGCAAGAGAAUGAAUAGCAAGAAGAAGAGGCUUACCGGCAGUCGACGGAGGCGGCGGAUCCCGGCCGCAGGUGGCUCAGUCUGGCAGUCAAGCAGCGGAUCUCACAGCGGCGGCGGCGGCGGCAGUAUAAAGCCGAUCUCGAAACAGAGAGAAAAUGGAUCACGGAAAGGUCUUUGGACGGCGCUCAGACGAGGUGGCAUGCCGGCCACCGGAGCAGGAGGAGAAGAUAGGAGGAGACAGAGGAGAGGGAGGACGGCUCGGAGGUGAUCUUAGGAAGAGGAAUGGGGGGUUUUAUCGCCCAAUUCCAAUGGUUCUCUGCCGCGGGAAUCGCGGCGAUGGGGCGAAAUUAGCGGCUGCUCGUGCGGCCACGGGGUGGACGCGGAACAACCGCGGUGCAGCCGCGGCGUCCCUGUGCUUGGAGAAGUCGGAGAGGAUCGCGAUUGGGAUCCCCUGCUCUGCCCCUUCCAAAAGGGGCUGCAGGCUUCAGCCCAGUAUCUCACACAUAAACUGCCCCCAUCUUACACUCUUGCUAUCUAGUCGAAAAAUAAUAUUUUUAAUAAUUAUGAGCAAAAAAUAAUAUUGUUACUUAGUCUUUAUUAUAUGUUAUUUUAAUCUCCAUAUCUACAAAACUGAUGGGAGAGGAAAAGCUCUAUCAGUUCCAACUUUUACAAAAAAAACUUAAAAAAGUCUAGCAUGCCAAUGCACUCCAAACUAAAUAAACUCUUCUUAGUAUACCAUUUUCCUAUUAACAUUCGAUAAAUUAAAUCCUCUUUAUAAAACAAACCAUUUUUUUCUCGUCCCUGACGGUAAUAAGUAUUAGUAUAAACAAAUAGCCAUAAUAAUAAUAAUAAUUUUUAAUAUAAAAAUUUAAAAUAUUAUCUUUGGAAAUAAAUAAUAAUCUUUCCGUUUUACAAAUUAUAAGAACCAAUAACAGCUCGAGUGGGAUCCAUUACCGUGUGAAUAACCGUUAUUCAACCUUGCGCCUGAUGGACCAGUAAUGCCUUUGACGUCUGUCAUUCCAUUUUUCUUGGUUUAACUCUCCAAGGAGCUUCCGUGCAUAAGGCUGGCACAACCCUUAGGCGGCUGAGAUGGUCACCUAAGGCUCCGGCUCAAAGAAGGCCCACCGCAUGAAAAACUUUAGGGCUCGUUUGGUUCGCGGGAAAAGAAGGAGGAAAAAUAUGAUCAACGAAAAAGUAAAGAGAUGCCUAUUGUUUGGUUGGAAUUUUCAAAAGAGAGAGACGAAAAAGUUGUAUUCCCGUGGGAAUAUGAUUUCCACAUUUCAAGAAAAAGUCUUUUUCAUGAAAAACAUAGGAAAGUUACUUUUCCGUAAGCCGGAAAUCAAAACAUUUUUAUUUUUUCGCAAAAGGGCCCUUCAGCAUCAAAUCAAGGAUUCUUAUUCGAUCCAAAGCAUUAAAACUUAAUUUUUAUUAAGGGUAUAAUAGAAAUUAUAUAUAAUUUUUUUAGGAAUGUGGAUGGUCAACCAAACAUAAGCACUUUCAAAAUCUGUUACUUUUUCAUGGUCAACCAAAUAUGCCAAAAGUAUUUUUUUCAGACAUUCUUUUUAUAGAAAUCUGUUUCUCAAAAAUUAUAUUUUUAUGAGAAAAAAUGUUUUCCGCGAACCAAACGAGCUCUUAAAGAUAAAAUAGAAAUUUUUUUUUUUUUAUGAAUUCGGCUUAGACCGGGCUGCGGUUGAAAAAGCUCUAAAGAAAAAAUCAUAGAAGUGACCGCCAACAACCUAUGAGUGGCCGUCCUUGUCGAUGGGCGAUAAGGUUCGAACUUUUGUAACUUUGUCAAAUUCCCAGACAGCUCAUUGUCCCCAUCCAUUUGUCUGACAUUGGAAAGCUCCAUUCAGAUCUAUAGCGCCUCUGAAGCCCACAACAAACACUGAACACCACCACCAACCUGCCUCGAGCCCGUUGUCCAUUAGCCUUCAACAAGGAGGAAGCAAGCAAGGGGAGGAGUAAUGGCUAGUGGAAUUCUUUCUUCCAUCACUCGGAUGACCGAUAAGUUGGCAGCUCCCAUUCGGAGAUCCCUCGGGGGCUCAUCCUCUUCUGACCCACAUAGUGUGGAAGAAGAUCUCAACAAGCUAAAAUCCACCCUCGAGACGAUUGAAGCUGUGCUCUAUGAUGCCGAGAAGAGGGAGAUACGAGAGGAGUCUGUCAAGCUCUGGCUGAGCGAGCUCAAAGCCGUGGCCUGCGACUCUGAGGACGUGCUCGAUGAGUUCGAAUAUGAGUUGCUGCGGUCCAAGUUGGAGAGUAGAGCUCCCAUGAAAUUCCCAGGCAAGAGGAAGCAAGGAGAGGUACGUGAAUUCAUUCCUUCUCCUUUGAAUGAAGCUUCUUUUCGUGAUAGCUUGGCACGUAGGAUUAAGCAGAUCCGAGAGAGGUUCGAUGAGAUCGCAGCGGAACGGGUGGCUCUCCAACUGCGAGAAGGAGAUGGGCCAUUGCGGGUGGUCGACAAUUACAAGCAGCCUCCGAGUAGCUCCAAUCUUAGCCAAUUGGAAAUUCAUGGUAGAGAGGAAGACUGUAUAAAGCUCAUCAAAUUGUUAUUAUCAGAAGAUUUCAAGGGGAGUAAUAUUUCAGUUCUUCCAAUAGUUGGCAUGCCGGGAGUCGGAAAGACAACAUUAGCGCAGCUUGUCUUCAAUGAUUCCAGAGUAUGCAAGCAUUUCAAUACAAGGGAAUGGAUCAGCUUAUAUGGAAGCUUUAAUGUCGCAAGGCUGAUGAAAGAGAUCAUCGAGUCGAUCACCAAGAGCCCAUCUGAUCUUACUGAAGUGAGUGCCCUUCAAGAAUGUCUCAAGGAGGUGCUGAGUGCCAAGAGAUUCUUGCUUGUAUUGGACGACGUAUGGAAUGAGGAUCAGAUGCUAUGGGAGAUGUUAAGGUCUGCCUUGGCAUCAGAUGUAGAAGGGAGCAAAAUCAUUGUGACCACUCGGAAUGAAACUGUUGCUAGAAUCGUGCAGACGAUGCCUCUUUAUCAACUUGAUUGCUUGUCGGAUGAAGAUUGCUGGCGGCUGUUUCGAAGAUGGGCAUUCGAUGGGCGAGAUCCGAGAGCACACCCGGAAUUAGUGGAGAUCGGAAAGAUGAUUGCAAGCAAGUGCGGAGGCUUGCCUCUAGCUGCAAAGGCACUGGGAGGCCUCCUACGCUUCGAGAAUGAUGAAGAGAAGUGGGUCGAUCUUCUUCAGAGUGACCUAUGGGAUCUGGAAGACACUGAGAAUAAGAUCUUGCCAGCUCUGAAACUUAGCUACCAACAUUUGCCGGUCCAUUUGAAGCGCUGCUUUGUUUACUGCUCGGUGUUUCCAAAAGGUUUUGUGUUCAAGAAGCAUGUAUUGGUCAGGCUGUGGAUGGUGCAAGGCUUCCUCCAGACAAGGGAUGACAAAGAACCAGAGGACAUGGGUUUCGAAUGCUUCGAUGACUUGCUUGGGAGGUCAUUCUUCCAGCACUGGAAGCUAGAAUUUGGCGACGAGGAAAAAUUUGUUAUGCAUGAUCUCUUUCUUGAUCUAUGCCGAUACAUUUCUGGGGAAGAGUGCUUGCUGACAGAGAAUUCUGACCUUCGCAGUCUCUCUCCAGAAGCACGCCACCUCUCCUUGAUCCCAUAUGGAUCCAGAGUGACAAUGCAAUUGAACUCUAUCGACAAGCCCAGGCCCCUACGCUCGCUGCUACUCAUCUAUAGGCUGAUAUAUUCAUGGGGUGGAGUAGGCUUGUGGGAAGGGAAUCUCGUGCAUCUCAAGAUUCCAGAUGAUAUCUUCCUGAAUUUGCCAUGCUUACGGAGUCUGGAUUUGGCUUACACUGACAUAGAGGAGCUACCAAAUUCGAUCGGCAGCCUGAAACACCUGCGAUACCUCAGUCUCAGAAGCACUAAGAUCCGUAAGCUUCCUGAAUCCUUAUGUAGACUUUACUAUCUGCAGACACUGGAGAUGGCAUACUGCAACAAUCUUCGUGAGUUACCAAAAGGCAUUGGAAACCUCGCCAACCUGAGGCAUUUAGAGCUGCCAACAAUGGAGGAUUCAUAUGUCUGUAUGCCAUCUGGGAUCGGCAGAUUAACUGGUCUCCAAGAGCUUGCAGCAUUCAAUGUGGGGGGAGAUGGUCGGCAUUGUGGUAUCGGGGAGUUGAAGGACAUGGCAAAUCUUGGAGGGGACCUCCAUAUCUCUGGGCUCCGAAAUGUAGCUCGAGGAUGGGAUGCAAAGGAGGCCAAUUUGAUGAACAAGAAAAAUCUUCAGAGGUUGACACUAGAUUGGUAUGUUCACCAAUCAGACUACAAGUGCAGUCAUUUGAACCUCAGUUCUGAUGAUGAGCGGACCGCAGCCAAGCUUGGAGCAAACUGCAGCUCAGAAUCUGGAGGAGUGCUCGCCGUGCCUUGGGAACAUUUCCAGGAGGAGGAUGUGGUGUUCGAGAGCCUCCAACCUCACCCCAACCUUGUGGUGUUGCAAAUUCGAAACUACAAUGGUGCAAGAUUUCCCAAAUGGCUGGGGGAUCCAUCCUUGUCCAAUCUUGUCACUAUAAAGCUCUUUAUCUGCGAGAAAUGUGAAGCCCUUCCAUCGUUUGGCGAGCUAUCAUCUCUCAGAAAUCUCCACAUAGCAGGAAUGGGCAGCAUUCGGCGCAUCGAGCAAGAGUUUUGCGGCACUAAGCAAUUCCCGGCAUUGGAGGAGCUGCAAUUCGAGUGGAUGCCUGAAUGGGAGGCAUGGAGUGGAGUGAAGGAAGGUGCAUUUCCUCAGCUUGCCGAGCUAAUAUUUCGUGAUUGCCCAAAACUGGGUAUCAUCCCGAAAGAUCUCGCGCCAUCCUUGAAGAAGCUUGAUGUAGGGGACUGCAAGCAGCUGAGCAUCCUCCCAGCUCCCCCAUCUCUCACCAGCUUAUGUAUAGGAGGGGAGUCCAUGGAACAAUUAUGGUCUUAUACCACAGAACUCACCAAGCUUGAGGCCUUAGAAGUGGCGUACUGUGAAGGACUGACUUGCCUUCCUUUGCACAAUAUGCCGGCUCUUAAGAGGCUGGAGAUCACAGACUGCUCACAGCUUGCAACUAUAGAUUGUAGGGGUGGAUCUGCUGCUGCCAAGGCUCUGGCUUCUUCCUCUUCUUCAGUGCCAUCCCAGGUUGGGCUGCACAAUUUGAUAUCACUUGAAAAUUUGAAGAUUGAGAAUUGCCCGGUGCUUCAAUUUGCGAUGGAAGAGCAGCUUCCUCCAAUGCUUAAGGAUGUGGUGAUAUCCUGUUGUCCAUUUCUGGUGGAGUGGUGUGAAAGAUCAGAAGGAAGAAGUCAGUUGGCACGGGUGCCUAAUUUUCUAGUUGAGAACUAUGAUGCCGAUGAGGUAUGUGCAAAGCAACUGGAUCAUAAAGCUUCAAAGAUAAAUUAAUAAGGAUCACUUAAGCAUACAUAUUUUUUUGAUGAUUUAAUUAGACAACUGCUUAAAGAACAUUUCUUUGUGGAAAUUUUUACCAAACAUGAAAGUUUCAGAAAUAGUACUUCGACAUAUAUACAUAUAUAUAUAUAUUUCCAAUGCUCGAGAAAACUAGGUAUAUUUAGGAAUUCAUAAGAAAACUCAAACUCAAAUGAAACAAUGACUUACAUCAGAAGGACAAGAAAAAGCAAGAUAUUAUUAUUUUCCAUCGAUGUGCCUGAACACUAGAGAAGCUUUGGCGAUCAGAUUUCAUUUUAUCAUUUGGUCAUGAACUCAGUGCAAAGCAAUUCAUAACUUAUGAAGAAGUCAAUUGUAAAGCAUAAUCCUUUGCAAUAGAGAAGGCCAUGAAGCAGUGCACUAAGGUCAGGUCAAUCAUGAGUACGAAAGUUGGAAGAAAGAAAAACUCAACUUUUAGAAUUUUUAGGCUUUACCAUCCUCUUCACCAGUUAGUUUGCUUGAGCCAAAGUGGGCAUAAGAUUUUUUUUUCCUUUGUAGCGUAACAUGAGAUUUAAUUCUGAUACAUUAUGAUCUCUCUCACUCUCUCUCUCUGUCUGUGUGCAGUUUCAGGAAUGGGUUAUGAGCACACAAAAUGAAGAGAGUGACAAAGAAAUUGAAGAAGAUUGAAAAGACUUGGCGAUAGAAUGUUCCAUGAAAAUUUGAUUUUUCCUUUGGGUUAGAGAACAUUUGGCCAUUUAAUUCCAAGUCAACAAUCUAUUCACCUCCUUUUGUGAGAACAAAGAGUGAGGAAAAAUAAAUGGGACAAAAGAGAGAAAUGUUUGUAGAAAAUGUCUGACAAAGUGGAGAUGAUGUCUAUCCUACUGAUGAAGGGCAGAGAUGCCCAAGGGUAUAAGUUUUUCAGUGGCCUACUUUGGGGUGACUAUCUUUCUUUGUUCAUUUUGUUGUAUGAUGAUUUGAUGUCUUUGCUUAUUUUGCUUUUGCAAAUCGACACGGUCUUAACGUUGUAUGUACAUAUUAUGAAUUCAAUCAUAUUUUGUAUUCAAAAAAAGGAUUGUGCAAUUUGGGAACUCUCUCUUCUUCAGAUUAUCUGCAGUUAGGAUUUUAUGGUUAUAAACAAGCCAGUUAAAUACCUUGAUUGUCUCUGGCAUUGGCAUUUUCCAGUUGAGUUUCCCAAACUGGGAAAAUGAUGCCGUCAUGACAGAAGAACAGAUAGCUUUCCUUCACCAUAUAGAUUCCUUUGGAGUUCCAUUUCCAUAUUACAGUGUCUGGUUCCUCACCUGUGAUGACUGUAAACAAAGUUGAGUGUUCUUCCGAUGCCCUAGCAUUUAGUUGUUCGUGACAAAAACUCUUGAGGUCACUAUGCAGCAUGAGCUCUCUUAGUGAAAUAAAUGUCUGGAUUGGAUGUCAACAGGAACAAGCUCGGGAAUUGAUACUUAGGAGGUUCAUUUAAAGCCCAGUUGUCAUGCCAAAAUGCAAUUUGCGUGCCAUCACCCAAUUUAAAGCUGAAACUUGAGCAGAAGACUGAUCUGACCUUUAAUACAUUUUUCCAAGCCAGUGACGCCAAGCGUAGAUUCUGUUGUGAGGUAAUUAUGGUCAACUUGGAUGAGUGAUGUAGUUUAAAAAUUACUCCAUGCACUAUCUUGAUCAGUAAAAUACCUCCACCACCUUUUCAAUCAGAGGCACUGAUUGAAAAGCUUCAAAUCCUUUACUCCAAGCCCCCCAAAUUGUUUAGGCCUGGAUACUUGUUCCCAGCACGCUAGGCAGUGCCCGCCUCUAUAUUGUUUGUCCUGCUUCACAAAAAUUCCCUUCUCUUUUUCUCAAUUCUUUCAAUUAUAUCUUGUGGAAAAAAGGAAGGAGAACAUCCAGUAUGUAGAAAUGCUACUUAAGACUGCAUUAACAAGGCAUAAUCGGCCUCCUAUUGACAGUUACUUUCCUUUUCAAGAUACUAACUUUCUGUCAAUCUUUUCAAGAAGGAAAUUCCAAUCAGAUUACCACUAGAUAGAGGGAAUCUCAGAUAGUUGAGUACAUCUCAGGAUGAUGCUUUUCUCAAAGUUGAUUCUCAGAUUUGUCAAUAGUUGUAACAACGCAGGACCUCACCCAAAAUGACUAGCCGGAAGGUAUUAUUUGGGCACGGGUCCUCAGAUACUCCCUCCGUUUGAACUUUGACGUUCUCGUUAGGCUAAUAGUUUAAAUCCAUUCAAAUCUAAUCACAAACAUCAUGAUCGGCCCAUGGUCAACCCCAAUGGAUCUGUGCUGCAGUGUCCCCUGGUCUACAUAGGUUAUGAGCUGGGUCCACUCUGAUACUAUUUGUCACAACCCAAAACUUCACCCAAAAUGGCUAGCCGGAAAAUAUUAUUUGGGUUCCUUGAUCCUAUAUAAAUAUCCAAGAUCUAUCCAGCGAAUAACCGAUGUGGGACUAAACACACAUCCUCAGGGGUCCUUAAAAUAGUUCAAAGGUAUAAAGGAGAAACUUGAGAUUUGAGAAAGUCUUCUUUGCGUCACAUAGAAUGAUAGUAUUGUCCGCAUAUUGUAAGUUGAGAUAGUUACCCAUAUCAACGAUCCUAUACCAACACCCAACCUAUUCUUUUGAGGAAGUUUUAGGAUUCCGUCCAACACAUCCGAGAUGAGCAUAAAUUAGAACAGUGAUAGAGGCUCCGCUUGUCUCAGACCUUUUUGAGCCAUAAGCCAACGUGUGGGUUCACCAUUGAUUAAAAGAGCAAGUUUGCUAGACUGAAGUAUAUUACUAAUCCAUGCACAUCACUGGUGUCCCAAUCUUCUAGCUUCAAGAAGGGAGAGAAGAAAGGACCAGUCAAUGUUAUCAAAUGCCUUUUCAGAGUCGAGUUUUAGCAUGAUACCUUUCAGUUUUUUUUUUUAGCAGCAAAUCGAGACUGGUUCCGCUGCACUCAAAUAGCAUUCAUUAAUUUGCCUGCCUUUGAUAAAUGCAAAUUAAGAAUUGGUGAUGAGUUCAAUCUAUCAACCUGAUACUUGACAUUUUUGAGAAGAUUUUCUGAACUCGAUUUAUUAAACUAAUGGGUCUAUAGUUCAAUCUAUCAACACCGAUGCUGCUGGAGUAUAUCUCAAAGAAGAAUCUACAGAUGUCCUCCUUGAUCAUGAGCCAUAAGUUCUGGUAAAUAGAAGCAGGGAAACCGUCAUUUAGAUCAAUUUCUUUUUCAGAGAAUGGCUAUUCAAGAUCAUUUAGAUCAAUCCGAUCAUCUCUGAGCAAGCUUACCAAUCUACCUUGACAGUUGUUUUCUUUGAGAUGCUAAAAAGUGCUUUCUUGAUUUCCGCUCUGAGAGAAUAUGAUCUUGAUGCUUGAUGAAAGAUAUAUUGUUUUUCCUUCUUCUGUUACAUGCACUCAGAUGGAAAAACUGUGUUCUUGUCUCCCAAUUUUAGCCAGUCAAGUCUUGAUCGUUGUCUCCAAAGUUUUUCCUCUUGGUUUAGAAUUACCUCAAACAGCUUGUUGACGUGUUGCCGUUCUAGUCUUUCUUCUGUUGAUAAGACCUGGUUCUCCUCUUACUUCAAUUACUACAUAUGUUUAUUGGUUUGUAUUGCCGAUUUGCAUCGUAAGAUUUAUAUCGAUUUGGCCUGUGAUGAUAUGCUUUUAUAUAAUUUUCAGUAUAGAUAUAUUUCUGUGGUUAUUAUAUAUAUCAGAUGUUGAGAACAUGAUUAUAUGAACAAAAAUACAUUGAAUUUAAGAGAAAUUCAUUGUAUAUGUGAUAAUUGCUUUGACAAAAGCAAUAACUAAAUGAGAAGGAUAAGAUAUGGUUUGGAUUAAUCUCGUUAUAGUGCCUAUAGGUUGACACAUGGGAAGCCUCCACGAGAAGCCACUACGGGCUAUAAUGCGGGUUGGAUAGCCACUAGGGGCUAUAACAUGGUCCGGACAGCUACCAAGAGCUAUAACAUUGGUCGGAUAACCACCACAAGCUUUAAUGUGAUACAGUAUUAGAUCUUGGUUAAUCCAAAGUCGGAAAGGAAAAUUGAUAAGAAAUCUAAAAAUCAAGUUAAUAAGAAACGGAUGACAUAACAUAAGAAAUUGUUGUUGAACAAUUGGUUAUAUAUGAAAUAUAUAUAUGUAUAUAUAUACUUGUUUGAAAACAUGAUAAUAGGAACUUAUGUACAUGUUGUUUAAGAGUUUUCUGACUAUUGAUAUGAUAUUCAAUUAUCUGGCAUUAUUAAUUGAUUAUUUUUUUAUUACUUAUGGUGAAGCGGUUCAGAAUUCUUACUGGGCUGUAAAACUCACAACCCCCUUGUUCUUUUUUUUUUCAAGAUUGCAGGUUGCAUGUUGCUUAGUACCUGGUUAUGGCUGCUUGGCUAUAAUUAAGAUCACAUGGAAAGGAAUGAACUAGUUGAAUAAUUAAAUUUUGUGAUUGAAUCAGUUUGGUUAUUUAGUAUGAAUUGAGAUCAUUAUUAUGUAGUGAUAUUGAGUUUGUGAUAAAUUUUCAAGCCUUGCAUAUUCUCUGGAGCUUUGCCCUAGUGUCGCAUUCCGGACCCGAGUGUUGGGUUGGGGGCAUAACAGAUUUAGCAUCAGAGCUUAAAGGUUUAAGACCGUUAGAGCGUGACACAUAUUCCAUGAUUUCAGUUUUGAGAGGAGAAAGCUAAGUUUGAUGACCAAGUUCUUUGCUAGAUCUUCCACAGAUGGAGCUGCAGACCACUAGCCCUUUACAAGGUCAUUAAAGCCAGGAAUAGACAGCCAAAAACCUUCAAAAUGAAUGGUCUUAUUACUGCUUUGUUUAGGACAGAACUUAUUACUGCUUUGUUUGGGAUAGAACUCGAGCGGUAAGAGGAAGUGAUCAAAAGUAGUCUUGAUAAAAGGAUGAGAUUGUGGAAAUAGCAAUAACCAUUCCAACGAAAGCAAGCAACGGCCUAAUUUUGCAAGAUUGGACCGAGUAAAGUUGAGGUGAUUAACAUAAUCUUGAUUAGUUGAUGGCUCUCGACGAAGUAGUUAAACUCUGCUGGUGUUAAUGAGUUAUUGAUGGGUCCUUUUCUCUCUUUUGAGUACCUAAUUGUAUCGAAAUCUCCUGCCAAUACCCAUGGUCCCGGCCACUUUUGUCUAACCAAUGAAAGCUCCUUAAAUAACUCGGGGCACUGUUGUUUUUUGUUUGGACCCAAAAACAUUGGUAAUCACACAUUGUUUUGUUUGCUGAGUGUAUGUUGUAAUGGAUUCAGCUGAGAGUGAAUGAACUUUCACAAAAUGAUGCACCUCCAAUUUUUGAGAAGUUUCAGCAGAUAGGCCCCACCGAAGGAGUCUUUUUCACUGUUAUUGCACUAAGUAUCGAGUUCUCUCCCACAGGAAGAACGAACAUGUUCCUUCGUAACUUCUUCAAGUUAGGUUUCUUGGAGACAGCAGAUCACACAUUUUGAUCGUUGGAUAUUGUAACGAACUAUUCUUCUUUUCGGGGCUUUUCCUAGUCUUCGUACAUUCUAAAAGAGUAGUGUCAUUGAUAGAAGAAUAAAACACCUAGGUGCAGUUCAGAGACUUUCUUGAGGAAGAAUGAUAGAACUGUUGGUUGUAUGUAUUGUGAAUUUGUAAAAUAAAUUAAGUAAUAAAUUGAUGAAUAAAUAAAUCUGACCUCAAAUGAAGAUUUAUCACAACUAUGUAAGAUCAAGGCUAGUGUUUGACACUAUGUCCUUUAGACAGAUUUCGCCCUCCACACAUGUGCUUUGGAUCUCUUGAGCAUCUGCCUCCCAGGAUACAAUGAUCUUCACAAACAAAAGGAGCACACCAAUUUGUUUGUACGGCGAACCAAAAACUGAGUUUUUGUACUCUCUUUGAAUGAACUUACUAAUGCUCUCUAAGAACUCUAGAAUGAGAGAACUAGAUGAAUUGGAAAAAUUCGGUGUCUUGAAUGGUUGGAGGAAGGCUCUAUUUAUAGAGUUCAUGGUGACUUUUUAGAAGAGACACCAGAGACAUGUCUUUUCUAUUCAAAUGAAUAGACACAUCCCUAUGAAUAGUCAUGUCAUUUAAAUGAAAAGAUGCAUCCAUACAAAGAUGCAAUGAAAAGAUGCAUCCAUUUAAAUAAAUAGAUGCAUCUCUUUUUAUGCAACUCUUUUGAAAAGACACACCUCUUCUAAGAAGCACCCUUUCAAGUGGGUCAUUUUGCAGCCUAUUUUCUUAUUCACCUAUUAUAGUCUAACAAUCCCCCACAUGAAUAGAAAAUUGGCUGAAUGCAUGUAAAUGAUAAUGCAGACACUUAAGAGAGUACAUUAUGAAAAGAUUCUGUAUCGAGAUAGGUAGCUUUUGGCCUUGAACCUUCCCUAAUGAAAGGCUAUCGGAUUUACUGGCUAAAUAGUGAACAAGAUGUCUUGAACUAUUCAGUUGAUUAAGUAAAUCGAAUCGAAUAGACUUCACACAGUCUCUUUUCUAACACAGUUAGUUCUCAUGAUUGUGUUCAUUUUGACCCUGAACAACUCCUGGUAUUCAUGAGUGCUCUAGAGAAUUCAACCUUAUAAAAAUUAUCAUAGAAGCGGCCCCUUCACACUCAUAUAGGUGACUCUUAUUAGGAAUAUCCUGCUAUAUUCCACUUGGAUUUUUAAGAUAUAAGAGUUCAUUAAAAGCGAAGCUUACCCUUAUAAACGCUGCAGGCAGCACUAGUUAAUCUUAGAAAUAGGUUGGAGAUUUUGUCUCCCUAGUGCUUAUGUUAAGCCACACAUAAUUCGGUUGUCUCUUUGAACCUAGAUCUUGGGAUCUCCAGUCAACUAGGUUGGGUUGCCAUUAUGAUGACUCUUUAAUUAUAAGCUUUAAUCCUAUCCUCUCGAUGUGCAAUUUACUUGCUCUCUAGUUAAACCUUUAGUAAGUGGAUCCGCAAGAUUCUCUUUAGACUUUAUACAGUCUAUCAAUAUAAUUCCAUUUGAGAGCAAUUACCUUAUGGUACUAUAUCUUUGACGGAUAUGUCGAGAUUUACCAUUAUACAUAUUACUCUGUGCCCUUCCUAUUGCUGAUUGGCUAUCACAAUGUAUACAUAUUGCUAGCACAGGUUUUGGCCAUAUUGGAAUAUCCUCUAGAAAAUGUCGAAGCCACUCUGCUUCUUCUCCUGCUUUAUCUAAAGCAAUAAAUUCAGAUUCCAUUGUGGAUCUUGCAAUACAUGUUUGCUUAGAGGAUUUCCAAGACACGGCACCACCACCAAGUGUAAAUGCAUAACCACUUGUGGAUUUUGUAUCUUUGGUAUCAGAUAUCCAGUUUGCAUCACUGUAUCCCUCAAGUACAGUUGCAUAUCUUGUAUAGUGCAAACCAAAGUUUAGAGUGUAUCUCAAAUAUCUAAGCACUAAUAAUUGCCUUCCAAUGAUCAACUCCAGGAUUACUCGUAUAUCUACUUAAUUUGCUAACUGAGUAUGCUAUAUCGGGUCUAGUGCAAUUCAUGACAUACAUUAGACUACCAAUUAUACGAGAGUAUUCCACUUGAGAAAUGCACUCUCCAGUAUUUUUGGCUAAAUGAAGGUUUAUGCUAACAGAUGUUCUAGCUACAUUGUUAUCUUCUUUGUUGAACUUUUUAAGUAUUUUCUCAAUGUAGUGAGAUUGAGAUAAUACAAGUCCAUCAGAUGUUUUAGAAAUCUUAAUUCCUAAUAUAACAUCUGCAAUACCUAAGUCCUUCAUGUCAAACUUACUGGAUAGCAUUCUUUUGGUAGUUUUAAUGAUUUCAUUAUUACUAGCCAGAAUGAUCAUAUCAUCCACAUAGAGGCAAAUAAUGACAUAGGCUUGGCUAUCAUUUUUGACAUAAACAUAUUUAUCACAUUCAUUGAUUUUAAAUCCAUUUGUGAUCAUGUGCUUGUCAAAUUUCUCAUGCCAUUGCUUCGGUGCUUGUUUUAAUCCAUACAGGGAUUUAAUAAGUUUGCACACUUUCUUCUCUUGUCCUAGAACAAUGGUACCUUCAGGUUGUUCCAUAUAAAUCUCCUCAUUUAAAUCACCAUUUAGGAAAGCUGUUUUAACAUUCAUUUGAUGUAUUUUAAGGUUAUACAAUGCUGCAAUAGCAAUUAGCAUACGAAUGGAUGUUAUUCUCGUAACAGGCGAGUAGGUAUCGAAAUAAUCAAUACCUUUCUUUUGCUUGUAACCCUUUGCCACAAGUCUAGCCUUGUAUUUAUCAAUUGAUCCAUUAGCUUUCAUUUUUCUCUUGAAAAUCCAUUUACUACCCAAAGGUUUACUUCCAGGUGGAAGAUCUACCAAUUCCCAGGUGUGAUUUUGCAUAAUGGAUUCAAUUUCACUAUUAACAGUUUCUUUCCAAAAGGUGCUUCAGGAGUGGACAUCGCUUUCUUGAAGCUUUGAGGCUCAUUUUCUAAUAAAUAUGUUAGAAAAUCAGGACAAAAUGACUUUGCAGUCUUUGCCCUCUUACUGCGUCUAAUUUUAUUGCCUCUUUCUUUUUCAAUGGACUCAUGAUCCAUAUCACUAGUUGCAACAUCAUAAGUUCUUUUACGAGAACUUGUAUCACUUGUAUUUUUGCAUGGAAAAAUAUUCUCAAAAAAUAAUGCAUUUCUAGAUUCAAUAAUUGUAUUGACAUGUAUUUCAGAAAUAUUAGAUUUAUGCACAAGAAAUCUAUAAGCACUACUAUUAUUUGCAUAUCCAAUAAAUAUGCAAUCAAUAGUUUUAGGUCCUAUUUUGCUCUUUUUGGGAGUAGGAAUCAAUACCUUAGCCAAACACCCCCACACUUUUAAAUAUUUGUAGGAAGGUCUUCUACUUUUCCAUGCUUCAUAAGAGAUUUUAUUUGUUUUCUUAUGGGGUAACUUGUUAAGUAUGUAAUUUGCAGAAAGCAAAGCUUCCCCCCACAAGUUUUGAGGUAAUCCUGAACUUAUCAACAUAGCAUUUAUCAUCUCUUUUAGAGUUCUUUUCUUUCUUUCAGCAACACCGUUUUGCUGAGGUGAAUAAGGCGCAGUAGUUUGGUGAAUAAUGCCAUAAUCUUGACAGAACUUAUUAAGCGGUGCAUCAUAUUCACCACCUCUAUCACUUCUAAUUGCCUUAAUUCUUUUGCUAAGUUGAUUUUCAACUUCAUCCUUGUAUUGGACAAACAUAUCUAAUGCCUCAUCUUUGCUUCUAAGUAAAUACACAUAGCAAUACCUUGUGCAAUCAUCAAUAAAAGUAAUGAAAUACUUUUUUCCUCCUCUAGUUUGAACAUUUUUCAAAUCACAUAUGUCAGUAUGUAUCAAUUCUAAAGGUUCAGUACUUCUUUCAAUUGAAUGAAAAGAGCGUAUUGUUAGUUUUGAUUCUAUACAAGUCUCACAUUUAUUACUAGUAUCAAUAUCAAAUUUAGGCAAUAAAUCUAAACUUACCAAUCUACGCAUAGUAUCCAAAUUAACAUGUCCUAAUCUACUAUGCCACACAUUUGAGGACUCAAUAAUAUAAGAAGAAGAUAAAUUCUUAUUAUUAAUAGAUAGUACAAUAGUCAUUACAUUCAUCUUAAAGAGCUCUUUGCUCACGUACCCUUUGCCUAAAUAAAUCCCACCUUUUGUGAGUACAAAUUUGUCAGACUCAAAAACCAACUUAAAACCAUUUUUGAUCAACAAUGACCCAGACACGAGGUUCUUUCUAAUAUCAGGCAUGUGUAGCACUUCGUUUAGAGUAAGUUCUUUUUCCAAAGUCAUCUUCAAUAUAACCUUGUCUUUGCCUUCAACUUUUGAAGUAGCAGAAUUACCCAUGAACAGAUUUUCACCACUAACUGUUUCAUAGGAGGUGAACAUGUUCUUGUCAGAACAUAUGUGUCGAGUAGCCCCAGUGUCUACCCACCAUGUCUUGGUAUUGAAAACCAAAUUUGCUUCAGAUAUGACAGCAGAAAAACUCAAUUCUGCAACAUUCGAAGCUAGCUUAUCCACCUCGGUUAUAUUAGCUUGUGGAGACUUUUUCUUGAAAUUCUCGUGUGCCUUUUGGUNNNNNNNNNNNNNNNNNNNNCAGAUAUGACAGCAGAAAAACUCAAUUCUGCAACAUUCGAAGCUAGCUUAUCCACCUCGGUUAUAUUAGCUUGUGGAGACUUUUUCUUGAAAUUCUCGUGUGCCUUUUGGUGGCGACAAUCCUUAGCACGAUAGCCGGGUUUGUUGCACACAUAGCAAUUUCCCUUGAACCUCUUUCUGUUGCCACUCUUGGUAUCUUGUUGAUCAUUAUUCUUUCUUUUCCUUUUGUUGGUCUUUUGUCCCUCUUCCCAUAUAAGCCUUGGACUCCAUGAAAUGGUUUCCAACUUUUUUCUCAGAAUUUCAAUUGUCUUCUUCAAUUCUCAAUCUAACAAUCAAGUCUUCAAGUUUCAUCUCCUUGCACUUAUGCUUGAGAUAAUUUUUGAAAUCCUUCCAAAGUGGUCGUAAUUUUUCAAUAAUUGCAGCCACUUGAAAAGACUCACUUAGUAUCAUCCCUUCAACAUGAAUGUCAUAGAUGAUCACUUGGAGAUCUUGAACUUGACUUAUGACAUCCUUGGAGUCGACCAUUUUGUAGUCUAAGAAUUUGCCCACAAUGAACUUUUUUGUUCCAACAUCUUCCGUUUUGUACUUCUUGUCCACGGAUUUCCAUAGUUCCUUUGCCGACUUGAGAGGACUAUGCACAUUAUAUAAUGUGUUGUCCAAUCCAUUGAGAAUGUAGUUCUUGCAUAGAAAGUCAGAAUGCUUCCAUGCUUCUACAACAGCUAUAGUUUGAGCAUACUCUUCACCCUCGGCAAGAAUAGGAACCUCUUCACGAAGAACCUUCACAAGAUUCAAUGUAGUGAGAUAGAACAACAUUUUUUGUUACCAUCUCUUGAAAUCGUUCCCAUUAAACUUUUCGGGCUUCUCUCCAUGGCUCAUAUGUGAGGCAAUGGGAAUGGCGGUAGGCACCAUAUUACUUGAACUUAAAGCCAUCUCUAAUUACUAAAUAAAUGAAUAAUCUCAAAUUAGAAUGAGUAAUAUCAAAAUUUAGUUUGUCAAGUUAAUGCAAACCAACAAUGAACAAAUUUUGCAAACAAAAUUAUAAAGUGUAUAUAUAAAACUAUUUGCAAAAAAUUAAAUAAAUACAAAAUCACAAUAUACACAAUAUAAAAAGUGAAAAUCUGUCUUAAGAUUGUUGGUUGUAUGUAUUGUGAAUUUGUAAAAUAAAUUAAGUAAUAAAUCGAUGAAUAAAUAAAUCUGACCUCAAAUGAAGAUUUAUCACAACUAUGUAAGAUCAAAGCUAGUGUUUGACACUAUGUCCUUAAGACAGAUUUGGCCCUCCACAUAGGUGCUUUGGAUCUCUUGAGCGUCUGCCUCCCAAGAUACAAUGAUCUUCACAAACAAAAGGAGCACACCAAUUUGUUUGUACGGCGAACCAAAAACUGAGUUUUUGUACUCUCUUUGAAUAAACUUACUAAUGCUCUCUAAGAACUCUAGAAUGAGAGAACUAGAUGAAUUGGAAAAAUUCGGUGUCUUGAAUGGUUGGAGGAAAGCUCUAUUUAUAGAGUUCAUGGUGACUUUUUAGAAGAGACACCAAGUGAAGAGACAUGUCUUUUUUAUUCAAAUGAAUAGACACAUCCCUAUGAAUAGUCAUGUCAUUUAAAUGAAAAGAUGCAAUGAAAAGAUGCAUCCAUUUAAAUGAAUAGAUGCAUCUCUUUUUAUGCAACUCUUUUGAAAAGACACACCUCUUCUAAGAAGCACCCUUUCAAGUGGGUCAUUUUGUAACCUAUUUUCUCAUUCACCUAUUAUAGUCUAACAAGAACACCUAGGUGCAGUUCAGAGACUUUCUUGAGGAAAAAACCAACUUCAAGAAGAAUAAACCUCACCUUCAUUUCUUUAUAAGAAUCAAAGUGCUGGCUUCAAUAAAACUCAUUGUUUGAUAAUUUGCGUCAAAAAAUGAAUAAUCUCAGACGUUGAAGAUGAGCUUGAGCUUCCACAUCAAGUAGGUUGAUGGCAUCACAAGGGCAAGUAGAACUAGGAGUUAUUUUCCAUCAAGACCUCUAGAGCACCACUAAUGGUUGUUUGUGUCAAACUGCUUGUAAAACUUUUCAUCUGUAGUCGUCCUGCUGACAUCUUGUAAUCCAACAAAUUCUUUCCUUUCUUCUUGUUUUAUAAGAUUUUUUCUAAAGCAUCCAACAAGCAUAUGCCAACACUGGUUUCCUACAUCCUAUAACCAAGAUGUUCUCCAUUUUCUUACAUUCCAUAAGGCUCAUAAACAUUUUGUUUCAUUGGUACUACUUGAAUUUUUAACUAUUUGGAGAUGUCUGCCCAAGCUUCCUUGCAUAGAUAUGUUCUCCCAAGUGCGUUGAUCUGAAUAAUUUUCUAGUUAUUACUUUCAAAUUGUUGAUGGUGCCUAUGGGGGCCAUUUCUUGAGCUUUCGCGUUCAGUUUGGAUGCUGGUAUUCUAAUAAAAAUGAUCUGUAAAAUCAACCCAAUUUGAUUCGUUUGGCCCAAACUAGACAUAAAUGAAAUUCCAGUCCUUCUAACCUAGUCUAAGAAUACCUAACAGAACCAUUUCUAAUGGAUAAAAUUCACACAAGUUAGACUCAGCCUGUAAUAUUGUACUAUGAACUUUAUACAUGUUAGGCCUGAGCCUAGCUUCUUGACCCAUCCCAAAAAUUAUCUGAAACAAAAGUAUAUUACUAAGGUAUCUACAACAUUUUAUGAAAAAAGAAAGGUAUCUAGAACAUUGAUAAUUGGUGUCAAACAAAAAAGGCUAACUCAAGCCAUUAUUCUCUGCAACUUUAUAAUAACUAGCAACCAUGGUGUCCAAGAGAAGUCACAAAAAUGACCAUCCACUCAGAUACAUAAGCCAACAAAAUUAAGGACGAGUUUUCAAGCUCUUCCUCAUCCAUUUCAGGGAACUUUGCCUUUGUUUCAUGCGAAAUCAAAGAAUUCUGACAUAGAGGGCAUGUCGACCUCUGGUGCUCGAGCCAUUGAUUGAAGCAACUUCUAUGGAAGAGAUGCCUGCAUCUUAGUUCUAUUAUCUCUUCACCUUCCUCGAUAUCAGACAGGCAGAAGAUACACUCUACUUGUUCAUUUGAUCCUGCUGAUUGACACUUGUAUUGAGCAAUACCAAGUUUUAUAACACAUAAGGGCAAUGCCUGAUCCAAAGUUGUAGCAUGGCUGGAAGGUUCAAGACGUCGACUGAUAAAUGGAUAGCCCGAAUGCCUCAUGGAAUUGGCUCUUUCUUGGAGAUGGAUGAACUUCAUGAUGAGUAGGAGAAUGGCAAAAAUGAUGAGCACUAGCAUGCUCAAACAAGAUAGUAGGAUGGUGAACAUGAAUAGAAAUAUCAUCAAGUUUGCUAAUUCCAUAUUUGUAGGACCCAAAAGAGGGAGGACGGUAUCAUGUAGGAGGCUGCUGUAGGCCCCGUCAAAGAUGUCCCAUUAAUGCAGCAACCACUCUUGGUUUAUCCACUUCGUAUGAUGGAUGGCAAAGUUGUUGACAUGGAUAUCUUGGACAUACAAAAGAGUCCCACAUCCGAAUACCAACCCACCUUUCUUCAUUAAUGUCAUCCGUUGCAUCUUGGAAGAAGUCACACAACGUAGCUCUACAAUUAAUUGGGUCAAUGCAUGUGAAAGCCAUAUGAGCAUAUUACUCUAAAGUCAGACAACAUAAAUGGCUAUUGUCCACAUUUUGGACAUAGAGUUCAGAUCCUCUGCAGUGCAACUUUUGCACCGUAGAGUGCGGUACUUUUGCGGAUUGUCGCCACAUCAUCCAUCUUGGAGAUGGAUGACUCUCAAGAAAUAGGACGAGGCAUCGUUAGUAUUAUACGCAGCACAUCGUGGUGAUGAAGAUAUUAUUCUCUGAACCAAAAGCAUGAUAGACAUUGCAUGCGUGCAGGCGAACCAUACAAGCAUGCAAGGUUAUUGAUUAAGUCAUAAUAACUUUAGAGCAAUAAUAAUAAUUCUUCAAUCCUCAAAUAUUAAUUUAGGAAGGAUCCAAUCAAAUCAUUCUCAUAAACAAAUAUCAUAAAAUAACAAGAGUCAUAAUGUUUCAACCAAUUAUUAUCCUCCAAAUAAAAAAUUAAUAUCUAAAACUAAAUUAAACAAAGCUAAACUAACUAAACUAGAAGUUUGGAUGAUACAAAUAUCUCAAAGCAAUCUAGUGCACUCCCUAAGUUUCAAACAAUUAUGAUUCAGAAUUUAAAAAUAGAAGAAGGAAGAAUAAUGAGCUACACUAACCUAGUAAGCAAUAUAACACAUCAAAGUGGUGUCUAAACAUGCCAAAUAAAUAUAUAAUCAAAUAGCAACCCAAAACAUAAUAUUGACUAGGAAGAAAUCAAAUCUUGAAGAAUACACAAUUUUUUUUUUCAAAAUUUAUUCUUCAUAAACUGAUAUUAGACCCAAUAUCAAGCAAUGGUCAUGUAACCUAAUAGCAUCCUCUAAAAAAAAAUAAUAUCCAAAACUAAAUUAAACUAAGCUAAACUAAACUAAACUAGAAGUUCAUAUGAUACAAAUAUCUCAAAGCAAUCUAGUGCACUCUCUCAAGUUUCAAAUAGUUAUGAUUCAGAAUCUAAAAAUAUAAGAAAAAAUAAUAAUAAGCUACACAAGCCUAAUAAGCAAUAUAACACAUCAAAGUGGUGUCUAAGCAUGCCAAAUAAAUAAAAAAUCAGAUAGCAAUCCAAAAUAUAAUAUUGACUAGGAAGAAAUUAAAUCUUGAAGAAUACAUAAUUUUUUUCAAAAUUUAUUGUUCAUAAAUUGAUAUUAGACCCAACAUUAGGCUAUGGUCACGUAACCUAAUUGCAUGGAUUAGACAACAAAUACAGGAUACACCCAAUGCUAGAUAAUAGAUAACAGAUACUACUAUUCUAAUCAUUGAUGGCUUGGUGUCGAAACUAAUUUCUCAUAUUAAAAGUUGACAGGGCCGACAUAUAAUUCCUAUUGGCAUGGCCAGAUUGCCGAGCAUACAUAGACAUAGAAAUAAUUUCAUAAAUCACCCAGUCAACUUUUCAAAUCCGAUGCUUAGAAUAGAUUAGGUGCUAAAAAAUAAAUCAUUUAUAAAAGUACCAAAUAUAUACCAUAUUCUUGUUUCAUUUUCAAAAACAAAACAACCCAUUUUAUCAAAAAAGAAAGCAUAGAUUAUAAAACAAAUUUAAUGAACUAUUUGUAAUUUUCACGUAGUCAUUUCUUACAAUAAAUUUUGAAGGAAAACACUAUGAAGUGUUAAGUUACUUACCUCUUCGCACUUCAGAUUUUCACUUCAACUAAAUAUGUAAGCUUUACCUAUUCUAAUUAAUUUUUAUCAUCAUCUUAGAGGCCCAACAAAUAAGAAACCCUGAAAAAUCCAAAUAGGUUAAAAUUGGGGUAUUGCUGAGGAUAUGGCUUUAUGCCUAAACUAAGAUGGAGGAAUGGUGGGAUUGACUAAGCAAGGGUGUCUGAUGGCUUAGGUCAGUCUAAUCAAAAUAACUAAAUCAGAUUUAGGGACCAGGCUUAGAUACUAGCUUAAUAAGGACCAAAUCCUAUGGUAUUACAUAGAGAACAAAAAAGAGACUAGCACGCUAUCCAACUACCAAGGCAGUUCAAGGCCCAUCUACUAGGGUGGACCAAGGUCACAAAGAUGGUCUCUCUGUUAGGUUCCCGGACCAGGUAGAGAGAGAAAAAGGUAGCUAGAGAGAGAGAGAAAGGGGUUUUAGGUGUUGGAUAAUAGUGAUCGGAGGGGUUUUAGGUGCUGGAUAAUAGUGAUCGGAGGCCAAGAUCGGCGGCCACAAUGGACAAUAGAAUUAGGCUGAUAGCUAGCAACAAAAGACUGAACAAAGAAAGCUAGAAUAAGAAUCACAACAGGGCAUAAUAAGAGUAUUUGAUUGGUAAUUAGAAGAAGGGGCAUCCUAAGGUAGAGAGAGGCAAGUGGUGGCCGGAGGACCGACAAUAGGUGUCGGGUGGUGGCAUUUGAGAUCAUAGUCGGCAUGUGGUCAGAAGCGAAGAAGAGAAGCAGAAUAAGGUCAAAUCACAUCCUCUCUUUUUUUAGUAGAAAUUAGAGAGGAACAAAAAGAGAGAUAAAAUGAGAGAUAAGAAUAGAGAAGAAGACAGGAGGAAGAAGAAGAAGAAGAGAAGGACUGUGGCUAGUGGCCUAGGUGGUGACCAAUAGUCAGAGGGCCGCCGAUAGGGGGCCACCGGCGACAGUGACAAGGCAGUGAGAGAUUAAAGUAAAAAAGAGGAAAAAGCAAGGGUUUUGGACCUAUUCAUAGAUUACAGGAGGCUAGGCUCCAGCGACGACCAUGAACUGACAAGGGGGAGUGAUCACAAUCUCUGGCGACAAACACCAGUGGUGAGGAUGGCUAGAAAAAGAAGCAAAAGAAAGAAAACAAGGACAAAACUCAAUCCAAAAAUAGGGGAACCAACCAAGCAUCCCCUUCUCGAUAAAAUCUGGCAAUUUUGCAGGAGAAACCAUGAUGUAAAAACUAGAAAAUAUUUUAAAAAAGAUGAACUAAAGGUUUAGAGGGUUAAUACCUUAUCCUGGUGCUGUUCGGUCUCGGCGAUGGCAAACAACAUUAGGGAUGAAUGAAGAGGCAAUGCUAGCGAAUCUCUAACUCAAGACUCAGGUUUUCGAUAGGGGAUCGAAGGAAAAAUGGGACGGGAAUUAGAUAGGAAGGAGGGAGGUACCAAAAUCCCUCUUUCCGUUGGACUCCCUUUGGCAAAUUCUAGAAGAAGGCAACUCCCAAGUUUGCCUCCUUCACAACACGUGCGACGUAUGUACAUCUUAUACUCCUCACCUUAGCACGUUCCGAGCAUGUGCUAGGAAAAAAUCAAUAUUUUCUUUUUUUUGUUGUUGUUGUUUUGGGCUGGAUUAUGCUUCAACAUUGGUCAGUUGGACUAGGCCUAGUUCACUAAAAGGUCGGGUAUUACAUACUUCCUCCCUAGAAAUUUUGAGAAGUUCUUAUCUGUGCUUUCAAAAGGCUGGGUAUUCAUAGUUCUGGUCUCAUCCAUAAAGCACUAGAUAUUCUAAUUAUCAAUGCAGUUCCAUCAUUAAAUCGUAUCAUAAAGAAAAGGUCCAAGACCUCAAGACUUGAUGCUUCUUGUUGAUAAUCUAAAUUAGAUAUACCUCAUCUGUUAUAAAUGAAAUCCACUUCUUAAUUUCAAAUAAGAAUGCCAAGUUUCAAAGACAUCAGUUGCUCUUAAAUAAUUGAUCUAUCACAGGAAUAUAAACAACUCCGAUCUAUUCUCAAUAGAAGAACAUUUGUGCAGAGAAUAUUUUCCAAGAUUGAAAAAUAAUCUCAAAUUCUUUCAAAUAGAUAGAGGAAUAUAAGCUUUAGAUCAAGAACUGAUGAUCCACUAACCCAAGCCUAAAGAUGCAAAAAAUUCCUUAACAUAAUAUAAGAUAGGAGCCUACUUGUGAAAAUUGUACAACAACAUCCAAAUUAGCCAAGAAUCAAAAAUGUUGCCCUUUCUUUUAUCAAUAAAAUUCUCUAUAAGAAAAAUCAAAUUAGGUCAUCCAUAUAAACUCUCCAAAUCAAAGAGUUAAUAUUACUGAUCAGCUAAAAAAUAAUUCGAACCACCACAAUUUUGCUAUGCACUUUGAUUUUAAACCACCAAAAUUAUCUAGAUUACAAAAUAAUUUUCAACCAAAGUACAACUCUAUAUUAUAAACUAAAAGCAUCCAAAACUUCAAAUUCUAGGUAAAGCUAAAGAGGAACUUUUGAAUCUCAUCUCCGAUGUACCUCGAGCAUACCCAUCUUGACUUACCCUUGAGUCAAUUGCCACAUGCAAAAUCAUCAUAUGAGCUAGUUACUUCAACCUAGAUAUGAGUUAAAUAUUAAUUCUCAUGUAAGCUCAAUUAGACAAUUCUGAAUCAAACUCCAACAAAAGAAAUCGAUUAGAAAAAUUUAUCGAUGCUUCACCAAGUUAGAAAUCUCUAAAUCCAUAUAUAUAUGUGUUGGGGGAAAAAUAUAAAUCGUCACGCUUGCAUGAACAUCCGAGCAGACCCCCUCCGACCUGGAGGCGACCGAGCAGAUCCUUCGACCAGGAGACCCGGAGGCGCCCGAAUGGCCUCUCCGACCCGGAGGCGCCCGAGUGGCCUCUCCGACCUGGAAGCGUCCGAGCGGACCCUCCGACCUAGAGGUGCCCGAGUGGCCUCUCCGACCUGGAAGCGUCCGAGCAGCCCUACCGACCCAAAGACGCCCGACUCGCGCGCUGUGGUCACAUCCCUCCGCAGCGCGACCGAAAAACUACGCCUUGCCUUCGUCAACAAUCAAUGCGUAUGGCCCCUACAGGCACUCAGCUUACUCAACAAUUAAAGUAUAUGGCUUCUGUUGUCUACGGACAUCAAGCCCCCUACGGCAAAUCUGCUUGGCUACGAAUGAUGGCAUGACUCCACGAUGAUUUGAGAGCUUCGGCCUAAUCUCCUACAAUAACAGCAUUGAUUCACACGAUCGAGUAUUAAUUUCUACUGCAUGCCCAAUCGUACGACAGACCGUUUGCCCCGUCACAUCACAGGUAACCCAGCCCCCCUCUAUAAAAGGAGAACUUCUCCAUUUUAAAGGGGGCUGGGAGAUGGAAACUCUAAAUAUUCACUACUCCUCCCGUUCAUACACUUGCCCCCUCUGACUUAAGCAUCAGAGGGCCGGUGCCGGAAACCCCGGCCACCGGCUUCUUGCAGGUCUCCCGGAGGACGUCGCGCGCCGCCAGACCGCCGCUCGCCGAUUCUAACCGGAGCUCCUCCUUCCUAGCCCAGUGGUCGCCCCCGGGUCUAAAUUCCAGCAACAGUUGAUGCUAGAGGAAGGGCCCGAGUCGCGGCCAUGAAGCUGAGAAGCAAAGGAGCUUCUAAUGCCUUCCGACGUCUUCCACCUAGCCCUGAACACUCUGUCCAGAACUCACCACCUCCGGCCGAUUCGACUCCUCAAGUUCGGCCGGAACAGUUUGAUGCCCUGGUGCAGCAGGUUCAGGUCUUAGCUGCUGCUGUCCAAAGCCUGCAAGCUAUGGGCAUCCCGACAGCACCGUUUCCUCAGGCCCCGGUCCAACUGGUAACCCCUUCAAGUAGAUCGGCCCCCCAAGGCCGAGAUCUCCACGCCUCUUCAAAGGCCAACGGUGAGGAGCGGUGCCGCUGCCAGGGUUCAGCCCGAGCAUCCUCCUGGAGAGAACCCCAGUGAGGGGUCCAGGCGACUGGCCGCAACCGUCAGAGGUCGAGUCAGUCCCAGGGCAACCUACGCCCGAGCAGACCACCGUGGCGAUCCCCCAGAGCGACGAACUUAACAAGAAAGUCGAGAAGCUGGAGCGCCAUAUCGAGGCGCUCCACGACAGGAGGGUGAGACGCGAGGGUGACUUCGAGUUUACCACGAAGUCCCCUUUCUCCCAAAGAAUCGAGGAUGAGCCGGUCCCGCCGAGGUUCAAGAUGCCCUAGGUGGAGCCCUACAACGGCAUGACCGACCCCCUCGAUCACCUGGAGAGUUACCGGGCCUUGAUGGCACUGCAAGGAUCCUCGGAGGCCAUGCUCUGCAAGGCCUUCCUAGCAACGCUUCGAGGAGCAGCUCGGCUUUGGUUCACCGGGCUGAAACCUAGCACAGUCUCCUCUUUCAAGCAGCUCGGCAGGCAGUUUGCUGCCAACUUUGCUGCCAGCCGACCCCAGCGGCGGACUUCAGACUCCCUCCUCGACAUAAAGCAAAGGGAGGGAGAGUCGCUCAGGGAAUAUCUGGACCGUUUCACUGCCGCAACUUGGGAGGUCCGCGAGCUUGACCAGUCAAUAGCCAUAUCGGCACUCAAGACUGGAGCUCGGUCUUAUAGGUUUCUCUUCUCUAUCGAGAAGAAUUUUCCAGCUGACUUCAACGAGAUGCUAGUUCGGGCACGGAAGUACGCAAAAGCCGAGGAAGCCGUUGCUUCUAGACGGGGUGGGGCCGAGCAGACCUCCAAAAAGCAAAAGAGGCGUCAUGAGGAGCGCGGCCGUCCCAGAAGCCCGUCUCCGCGCCGAGCUAAGAACCCGCCUCAUCUGAAGAGUCCACCCCGGCUGCGGGGACCGCUCCGACCAAGGUCCCCACCUCAUCCGAGAUCUCCACCGCGGUCCCGCAUACCCAACGGGAGGUACGAAAAUUACACUCCCCUUAAUGCUCCUCGGACUGAGAUCCUCAUGGAGAUCGAGGGUCGGGAUUAUUUUCGGCCUCCACCCCCGAUGCGGGAUCCCGGAGCUUGGCGCAAUCCCAAAAAGUACUGCCGCUUCCAUCGGGACCACGGCCAUGAUACGGAGGACUGCUUCCAGCUCUGAGAUGAGAUCGAGGCACUCAUCCGCCGAGGAGUGCUCAACCGGUUCGUGCGCAACCGGUGUGAAGAGAAAAGACCAGUGGAGGACGCCGUGCAGCAUGGAGAGCCGAAUGCUAAUAAACCCAUCGCUGGCACUAUCAACACCAUAGAUAAGGGGGGCCCAGCCGGAGAACUAGCUGCAAAAAGGCUUCUUCCAAAGUGCCCCCGCACCUCUGAAGUCAUCUCUUUCUCGAAUGAGGACCUGGAGGGAGUUGAAACUCCCCACGAUGAUGCUGUGGUCAUCUCUAUGGUCGUAAACAAAUUUGAUGUAAAAUGCAUCCUAGUGGAUAAUGGAAGUUCGGCGAAUAUUUUGUACUUUGAUGCCUAUUCUAGAAUGGGGAUGACAGAAAAGCAGUUAAGGAGGAUGAAUGCCCCACUGGUCGGAUUUACUGGAGACUCGGUUCCAGUGGAGGGCGAGGUUGAUCUCCUUGUUACGGUCGGACUCGCCCUCCGAGAGAGUACCGUGAGGAUGGAUUUCCUCGUGGUGCGCUUGCCCUCGGCCUAUAACGCCAUCCUCGGACGACCAGGGCUCAACGCUCUUCGAGCCGUGGUCUCAACCUGCCACCUACUUAUGUGGUUCCCCACCAGCCAAGGAGUCGGCGAAGUCCGUGGGGACCAGGCGGUAGCAAGGCGAUGCUACAUGGCGACCCACGAGGCGAAGCAACCGGCCAAGGUGUCAACUUCGACACCAGAUGACAAGCUCUCAGCUGAAACUUUAGAGACACGGGUCGGCCCUCAGAAAAAGCGGGUAGAGCCUGGUGAGCUACUCACCCGAAUUUCCUUACGAGAAAAUUAUCCCGAGCUAACCGUGCAGGUCGGCUCCGGCCAUGAUGCUCGCAAGAGAGGUCGCCUUGUCAGCUCUUGCGGGCCAACAUGGACAUCUUCGCCUGGUCGUCCGCUGAUAUGUCGAGGAUAGAUCCGGAGGUCACGGUCCACCGACUCCAAGUGAAGCCGACCUGCAAGCCCGUGCGGCAAAAGAAACGAAGUGCCACCCCGAAACAACAAUGAGCAGUGGCCGAGAAAGUCGACAAACUCCUCAAGGUCGGCUUCAUCCGGAAGAUAUCCUAUCCGGAGUGGCUCGCCAAUGUGGUCCUUGUCCGAAAAGCUAGCAGAAAAUGGCGCAUAUGCGUGGACUACACCGACCUGAACAAGGCCUGCCCGAAGGACAGCUUUCCACUCCCUAGUAUCGACCAGCUCGUGGACUCCACCUCGGGACAUGAGUUGCUGACAUUCAUGGACGCCUUCUCAAGGUACAACCAUAUCCAGAUGGCACCGGAGGAUGAAGAAAAGACGGCCUUCAUUACUAACGGGGGCACCUAUUGCUACAAAGUGAUGCCUUUCGGCUUAAAGAAUGCUGGAGCAACUUAUCAAAGGCUGGUCAGCCAAAUCUUUAAAGACCAAAUAGGCCUAAACAUGGAGGUCUAUAUCGAUGACAUGUUGGUGAAGAGCCGAAUGGCGAAGGAUCAUGUGGCUGACCUCGACGAAGCAUUCUCCACGCUUCGAAGGUACCGGAUGAAGCUCAAUCCUGCAAAAUGUGCAUUCGGAAUCACCUCGGACAAGUUUCUUGGCAUCGUGAUUACCCAACGGGGAAUUGAAGCCAAUCCCGAGAAGAUCCGAGCGCUCCAAAAGAUGGUGCCCCCGAGGACAGUUAAAGAGGUACAGCGGCUCACGGGAUGGGUUGCAGCUCUCGAAAGAUUUGUUUCUCGGUCGGCCGAGCGCUGUCUCCCGUUCUUCGCAGCUCUCAAGCGGACGAAGAACUUCUUGUGGUCGGCAGAAUGCCAGCAAGCCUUUGAAGAGCUUAAGCAUUUUCUCGCUUCUCCUCCUUUGCUCACGAAGCCUCAGCAGGGUGAGCUCAUUUAUCUGUACCUGGCUGUUUUUCCAAUUGCAGUAAGCUCGGUCCUGGUCCGAGAGGAGAACAAACUUCAGAGACCGGUAUACUACACUAGCCGGGUCUUAAGGGAUGCUGAGACCCGAUACUACAAACUGGAAAAGACCAUCUUUGCCCUGGUCGUCUCAGCACGGAGACUCCGGCCCUAUUUCCAAGCUCACACGGUGGCCGUGUUGACCGACCAGCCGAUGAAGCAAAUCCUGCAACGAUCAGAUCGUGCUGGUCGAAUUACAAAGUGGGCAGUCGAGCUCGGAAAGUUUGAUCUUGAAUAUCAUCCGAGGCCAGCAAUUAAAGCUCAGGCGCUCGGCAACUUUAUCGUGGAAUGUACUGUGCCCGACGAGCCCGAGCCCAUACCUAUAGCGGAGGAGCCCUCGGAACAGCCGUGGACCUUGCAUAUGGACGGCUCCUCGACCUCGGGGGGUAGCGGAGCAAGCCUCAUCCUCACCAAUCCGGAUGGGGUGGUUGCGGAACAAGCUCUGCGCUUCGAAUUCCCUGCCUCGAACAAUGCGGUGGAGUACGAGGCACUUAUUGCCGGACUCAAGCUGGCUAAGGAGCUGAAGGUCGAGAACCUGAAGGUUUUCAGUGAUUCCCAACUGGUUGUAAGCCAAAUUUUGGAAGACUUCGAAGCCAGAAAACCAUCAAUGCAGAAAUAUCUCUAGAAAGUGCGAUACCUCAUCUCGACUCUGAGCUCUUUCCACAUCCAACAUAUUGCCAGGUCGGAGACUCUCAGAGCAGAUCAAUUGUCGAAGUUAGCAUCCUUCCGUAUGAGCGAACUUCCCAAAGCAGCAGCGCUGGAGUAUCUCCAAAUGCCCAGCAUGGAGGAACCUGAGCCGGCCCUUUGCAUCGAGGUUGAGCCGAGCUGGAUGAACAAGCUCAUUAGCUACCUGCAGGAUGAAAUCCUCCCCAGUGAUGAGCGCGAGGCUCGCCGAGUCAAGUGUCUAGCCGCUCGGUACAUAUUGUAUGAAGGCAAGCUUUACCGACGAUCUUUUAUCUCUCCCCUUCUUAGAUGCCUCCGCCCGACAGAGGCGGAUUAUGCAAUGCGUGAAGUCUAUGAAAGGAUUUGCGGAAAUCAUUUGGGAGGCCGAACACUGGCGCAUAAGAUUCUACGCCAGGGAUAUUACUGGCCGACACUCCAGAAGGAUACGCUAGACUUCGCCCGGAGAUGCGACCGAUGCUAGAGGAAUGCCAAUAUUCAACGCCGACCCUCGACCCCGUUGACCUCGAUCAGUUCUCCCUGGCCAUUCGCCCAAUGGGGAAUUGAUAUCCUGGGACCAUUCCCCCUAGCAACUGGGCAAAAAAAAUUUUUGGUCGUCUCUAUUGACUAUUUUACUAAAUAGGUUGAGGCCGAGCCAGUAGUCCGGAUCACCGAGCAGAAGAUGCGGAAUUUCAUUUGGAAGUCAAUAAUCUGGAGGUUCGGACUUCCCCGCAUCCUCAUAUCAGACAACAGCCGCCAGUUUGACAAUGCUCGCUUUAGAGAGUUCUGCUCCGAGCUCGGCAUCGACCACCGCUUCAUCUCGGUCGUGCAUCCUCAGACGAAUGGAGAAACCGAGGUAACGAAUCGUACUAUUUUGCAGGAACUCAAAGCCAAGCUCGACCAGUCCAAGGGACAGUGGGUCGAAAAUCUAUACAACGUCCUAUGGGCUUAUCGGGCCACAUUCCGUGUACCCACCGGCGAAACUCCCUUCAAUUUGACGUAUGGAACGGAAGCCGUCAUUCCAUUGGAGAUCGGGCUCCCUUCUCCGAGGGUAGAGCAUUAUGACGCCAACUCUAGCUCUUCGCAGCUCAGAAACAACCUGCACCUAAUCGAGGAGACAAGGAAAGCCGCCCGAGUCCGCAUGGCGAGGUACCAACAAAAGAUCGCACAAUACUACAACGCCAGAGUCAAAGCCAAAUCCUUCAAAGUGGGAGACCUCGUCCUCAGAAGAGCUGAAGCCUCUCAGCCGACUGAGAAAGGAAAGUUGGCUCCGAAUUGGGAAGGACCUUACCGGAUCGCGCGUGUCCAGCGACCCGGGGCGUACAAGCUGGAGUCUCUCGAGGGGACUCCUAUUCCACGAAGCUGGAGUUCUGAAAACCUCCGGGUGUAUUACCAGUAGGACCCCAAGGGGUUCUCUCUGAUCGGAGCAUGAGUCUCACCUUUUACAAUAAUUUAUCUGCAAUCGUUUAAUCGUGUUGCGUUUCUUCUGAUGUCUAAAUGUUUCGUGAUUCUCAGACGACCCGGCCCAGCUCAUAUAUACGACCUCGCUCGGAUACUAGAAUUAACACCGGGCAACACCGAGCGCCUUAGCCAGAAGUCUGAAGUGCCAAUGUCGAGCUUGGUCUCGAUUUCCCUCAAAUACCUCGGCAAAGGUCAGAUGCCCCGAGGUCGACAGUGCGUGCCCAGAUCCCUCGGCCUCGGAAAGCGUUGCAGGUCGAUAGUGUGUGCCCAGACCCCUCGACCUCGCGUACGAUCCCCUGAUAAUUCGGGAUACCCCGAGUGUCGACAACGCAUGCCCAGACCCCUCGACACUUCGGGUAGACGGGGUAAUACCUUCGUGGUCCUCCGUGGCGCUCAACACCAACAACGGAGUAGUACCUUCGCGGCCCCUCGUAGCGCCUCCUCGACUAAAGUCGAGAUGCCCCGACGAGUCGACAGUGAGCUCGAGCUCCCUCGACCUCGGGAUGACAGGAUAGUACCUUCGCGGCCCUCCUAAACGUUCGUAAUUAACAACAAAGCACCCUCAAAAUGUUCAUGGAUGACAACAAAGCAACGCCCACACAGAUCUCCAAUGGAAACUAUUUCUCCUAAUGUGCCGGCGUCCCCAAAAAGUGGACCCCGAGCAAAAGAGCGUCCUCAAAAGUUAGCCGGGGAGCAAAGCUGCCGACCUCGGCGUGAGACGCUCGACUCCGACAGUACAAAAGGUACAUUUUAAUCAGUACUUACAUUGUUUCAUUCGUUCCUACACCGAUUGAAUGCUUAAAUAAAGUCCCGACCAGCGUCGAGGUGCUUUGCCGGGUCAAUCACAGACUGACCUCAUUGACCCCGCGCGCACUACUCGUCAGUGAACCCUAGUUCGAUUUAUACCGGCAGCUCGACGAAAUUUGAUCCUGAGCUUGGGGACUUGUAUCGGGCCUGUACCUAGACCUGUUUAAGUCGAGGGGGCCCGACAAUCUGCUUCGGCAACUAGAGGUCCGAGCUCACGGAGUCGAUGAAAUUUGAGUCAGGUUAGCGACCUCAGGUUCUAGGGCUCAGCAGGAUUCAGUGUCGAUCUCGGAGGCUUGACGAGCCCGAGGACAAGCGAGUGUCUCCCGGACCUAAAUACAGCGAUAUCGCUGGUCGAGGGUCCGAGCAGCGGAAACUUAGGACCCGAAUCCAGGGACUUGGCAAAUAUGCCAAACCUAAGUCUGACUACAUAACGAAUGUGGUUGAAACCGCAGAGCCCAAGUCCAUGAACUUGAGUGAACCCGAAGAAACUUAGAUCUACUGAGAAACGAGACUUAAAUCAAUUACACAAAUUUAGAAAAGAAAGUUCAUUUAGAAGAAAAGCCCGAAGGCUGAGUACAAAAUUAAGGCUCGGCCGUAUAACAGACGUAAAGGCCAUCCUCCUUUACAAAAAUAACAAAAGAAAAAGAAAACCAAAGAAAAAGAAAACCCUAGGGGACGAGCGCGGCACCAGCAGCCGGGAUCCCUUCAGCCCGACUGUCCUCGGUAGCUUCGGGGGCAGCUUCAGGAACUCCCGCCAAGCCCUUGGCAGCGACCGGUUCCUCUGUGGCGAAGGUCUCGGCCCGGCCGUCCUCAGCAACCUCAGGAGCAGCCUCGGAUGCUCCCGCCGGGCCUUCCCCGGCAGCGGCCUCUUGAGCGGCUUCUUCAACCGCCCGAGCCUCUGCCUCGACCGACUCAUCUGCCUCGGACUCCUCGACUCCUGCUCUCGGUUGAAGCAGGUUGAGGUUGAAAUCGGGGCAGAGCCGCCUCAGUUGAUUGCGGAAAUCGUUGAAGCCCUGGAUGAGCCCGUUCACGGCUUCCUCUUCGAGCAGGUCGCGGAACUCUUCUGAUUCACGGGAGAGUUGAACGGCGCUCUGGGCCUGCUCUCGGGCCUCCUUUUUCUGAGCUUCAAGUUGCUCGGCCUUCAGCCCCAUAUUCUUUAUUUCCUGCUCGCGGACGAUGAGCAGGGACUGCGCCUCGGCCAAACGAGCCUCGGCGGCCCGCACCUCUGAUCUAGUUAGAGUGUGAGUGGUCCUUUCUUCCUCGAGCUCCGCGGCCAGGAUUUGGACCUCGUCCUCGCUGGCCCCCACUCUAAGCAAAAGCUCCUUCUGUUGGAGCUCGGCCUCGAUCAGCUUUUUCUCGGCCUCUUCCUGUGCCCGUAAACACCGACGAGCUCGUUCUUUGUAGUCUGCACCGAUCGAGAUCAGUGUAUCGAUCUCGUGGAGGUGCUGUAAGCAAGGCAAAGAGAAAUUAGGCCGAGGAUAAAAUUAGGGCAUGAAAGCUAAAAGCUAAAAGCGCAAAGAAUAAAUAAUAGUAAAUAAUGAAUAGACUUACCCGAACAGCAGAGAGGCGAGUUGAGUCCAAGAAAUUGUUCAGGCUCAUGGCCUGAAUUUUCGCCCUGUCAGCUGGGAGAAGUGCGAUGCGGAAGAUCUGCCGCGCCGUCUCGACAUUCUCGAGAGCUGAGUCACCCUCGAACACCGCCCAUUCUGGAAUAUAGGGCCGCCUCUCUUGUUGGCCCUCGUCGUCCAGUGGACCGGGGAGGCUGGGCCUUGUCGCCUUCGGCAAAAGUGGCCUCGCAGCCCCUCGGCUGCUGCCCGACUCGGACGCCGGGCGCUCGGGUCGGACGGGCGGCCGACCAGGGAUCUGCGAGAUUGACGCCGGGCAUGCGAGCGCCAUAGUAGCUCCUGCUAAGCUCGAGCUCCUGGGCUCGGAGCUCGAGCCCCCCCUCCGAGCAGCUUCGGAGGGCCCAGCUCGGGGAGCGCUCCUCUCAGCGGCCCCACCAGCCGAGAUCUUGGCCUUCUUCGGCUCGGACAGGACUCCUCUAGUCUCGGCCGCCUUCUUUCGGAACCGAGCGUACAUAGCUCUGCUCUUGGUCACCAUUUUCGCAAUGUCUGCAAGGACGAGCAAAAGAAGUUUGUAAAAUAUUGUGAGAGGAAAAAGAAGAGAGGAAAAUUUUUUAAGUUACUACCUUUACCCUGAGGGCACGCCGAGCUCAGACCAACAUUGAUUAGAGCAUCCUCGCUCACGAGGCCGCUCAGAAGAAUAUCAUCCCCGAGGCCGUGAACGGCGUCAAGGAUCCGCUGCUCGCGCGUGGAAAGCCUGGGGAGUUUGUUGGCGGUCUUGAGCCGGCUCUGCCUCCACCUAGGGUCGAACCCCCAUGACCGCUCGGAAGCCAAAAAGAAAAUUUUUCUUCCAUUCAUGAAUGGACGUCGGAGCGCCCCGGAAGAGUGGCCGACCCCCCCGAAGGGCGAUAUAGAGCUACUCUCCAUCUUCCGGGUUGGACUUCAACAUGAAAAGCCGCCGGAAGACAUUCAUAGAAGACGGGAUCCCGUACGCUAUGCACAAGGACAAAAAUCCGAUAAUCGUCCUCCAUGCGUUCAGAGCAAGUUGCGCCGGGACGAAUUGGUACUCUCCAAGCAACUUAUUCACAAACCCAUGGAGGGAAAAUCGCAGGCCGGCCCAGAGUGCCUCCAUAUACACUCCGAUCCGACCUAUAAGGGGGUUCGUUACCUGAUCCCCCAACCCAGCGGGUUCCAAACGGAACCCUCGUCGAGGAAAAAACCACUUCUUGGCCAUUUCAACCUCCUCCUCACUUAUUGUGGACCCGAUUUCAUCCGGACCAAGACCCAUUAGAAAAAAAAGAAAGAAGAAAAGAGGAGAGGGGAGGAAGAGAGGGUUCCGAGCAGACGAAGAGGAGGACACCUUUGGGAGUUCGCCGGAGGUAAUGGAGGAUCGGCCGCUUCGGACUGGGAAGGAGAAAGGCUAUGGGAAAGAAGUCAGAGACGGCCAAGUAAGGAUUUAUAUAAAUCCCUCUGACGGUCCAAAUCUGCGAGGCGGAGCACUGCUCCCCGUCCAGAUCAUAACACGUGUCGACCCCAAAAAUUAAAGCGCUGCAUUCAAUUCGAGCUGACGCUUCGAAUAUGGAAGCGCCUCGUUAGAUCGUGUGGCCCCAUCAUGAGCCCACGACGCGAGGACGCUUCGAAAAAUGAAAAGGUACCCCCCUGAUGAAACGUUUCCGAAAAAAGGAGACGCCGCCCAUUAAAAGCGCCUUGAAGCGCGCUAUAAUUCAAAAUUCUCCUAAUCCAUAUUAACACGACCAAAGCUACUUCCCGCGCUCGAGCCUAUGAGCAGCUCGAGCUUGGAAGUCGGGGGGUAGUAUUGGGGAAAAAAUAUAAGUCGUCACGCUUGCAUGAACAUCCGAGCAGACCCCCUCCGACCUGGAGGCGACCGAGCAGAUCCUUCGACCAGGAGACCCGGAGGCGCCCGAGUGGCGUCUCCGACCCGGAGGCGCCCGAGUGGCGUCUCCGACCCGGAGGCGCCCGAGUGGCCUCUCCGACCUGGAAGCGUCCGAGCGGACCCUUCGACCUGGAGGUGCCCGAGUGGCCUCUCCGACCUGGAAGCGUCCGAGCAGCCUUACCGACCCAAAGACGCCCGACUCGCGCGCUGUGGUCACAUCCCCCCGCAGCGCGACCGAAAAACUACGCCUUGCCUUCGUCAACAAUCAAUGCGUAUGGCCCCUACAGGCACUCAGCUUACUCAAUAAUUAAAGCGUAUGGAUUCUGCUGUCUACGGACAUCAAGCCCCUUACGGCAAACCUGCUUGGCUACGAAUGAUGGCAUGACUCCACGAUGAUUUGAGAGCUUCGGCCUAAUCUCCUACAGUAACAGCAUUGAUUCACAUGAUCGAGCAUUAAUUUCUACUGCAUGCCCAAUCGUACGACAGACCGUUUGUCCCGUCACAUCACAGGUAACCCAGCCCCUCUCUAUAAAAGGGGAACUUCUCCAUUUUAAAGGAGGCUGGGAGAUGGAAACUCUGAAUAUUCACUACUCCUCCCGGUCAUACACUUGCCCCCUCUGACUUAAGCAUCGGAGGGCCGGCGCCGGAAAUCCCGGCCACUGGCUUCUUGCAGAUCUCCCGGAGGGCGUCACGCGCCGCCAGACCGCCUGAUGCAGAACAAAAUGCAGAAAAUUCUAUUCCUUUUUAAAUUAAGAAAAUAUGGACCGGUGUCGAUUAAGAAAUCGACACAAAAUUAAGGCACCUCGAUCUAACUUUUAAAUUAUACCGGGUUAAGCAUAAAAUAGGGCUUUUUGUCACAUGAUUACCAAUAACGAUCUACUCCUGAUAAAAGUGGAAAGAUUCUCACCGACACGACGCUUGGAAUCCUAGAAGAGGGAGGAAGGCCCUGAGAUCCGGGAUCGUCGAACGGGCCGCCUUUCGUCUCGGCACACGGUGGACUCCGAGUAGAUCUGAAAACAAGAUUUUUUUUAAGGGAUUAUUUUUUUGUGUGGACUGAAAUGGAACAAGACAAAUUUAAAAUACAAGAUAACUAAUCCGGACGACGGAUCGUCGAAUCGGGAAAGAAAUCCGGAAGGAGAACAAGAGCCGGUGGAUGCGUCGCCUGCGCUAGAAGAACUCGCGGAAGACAGGGAGAAGCCGCGUUCACUUAGGAGAGAAAGAUUUUAGAGAAGGAAGAAAGGUAGGUUCUUGGGUUUGGAAACCAAACUCUCUCAGGCAAUUUGUCAAACAGNNNNNNNNNNNNNNNNNNNNNNNNNNNNNNNNNNNNNNNNNNNNNNNNNNNNNNNUUCUCGAUUUUUACAGCAUUCAUUCGGGAUUCAAUUCCUAGAUUACUCUUUGGUUUUCAAAGCACAGUUGGCAGCGUUGCAUGGGAGAACUCGAUGGGGAUGGGUGACUUGCUGGAAGUGCCUCGGAAAGGGGAAGAGUAGUCCUUGGAAUCAGCUUGCUUUGAAGUGUUGGAAGAACCACCUGUGGGAAGAAUACCUUGGGAAGAAGCCGGUUGCACAUCUUGUGAUGGGAUUUUAAUGAAGACGUGGCUGACUUUGGAAUGUUGGAAAGAGCCACCUGGGGAGAAGACUUGGAGCUUGAAAUGCUUUGGGAAGAAGAACGGGAUGCCUCUUGGGAUUCUUCAAGGAACGGCUGGAGGGCUUGGAACCGGGUGGGUUUUCUUCGGUUUGGGAGCUUCUGCGGGAAGGGAAGAACCUGGGAGAAGAACCGGCUGGGUUCUUGCUUCGGGAAAGGAGGAAAAAGGCUGAACUUCCUCUUCAUCUUCUUCGGCUGGAACUGCAAGGGAAAUCCCGAUGGAAAACGGGGACUCUUCACAGCAUCAUUUCGAAUAUCCUUCGUUGGCUGAAUCGGGGAGAACCGGCUGCAGGCUGGAAUGUCUUCAAUUGCUUCGGUUGGGCUGUAUUGGAGUCCUUUUCGGGAAGAGGAGAACCGGGCUGGGAUGCUUUGUUGGGAUGAGGAAUUCACGAUGGAGCUCUUAAAUGAUGUGAAACCGGGCUGAGGUGCGAUAGAGGAUACCGUGGGAUCCACAUGAUGGGUGUUCUUUGAUGGACACAUCGAGAUGGGAUGGUAGGAUCCAUAGGGUUGCUGGCAUUGGGUUCUUUGGGCUGGUUUCAUUAUGUAACCCAUGUGAACAUGACUUAGUCUAGGCUUGACACAAAUUCAAACCAAAAUUGGACUGGGCUGACAUAACUUGAACUGAACUUCAAAUUAAAAUACUGGAUAUAAAUUAAAAACUCAAGACUCCAAGAAAAUAACAGACAAACUACAAUUAAAUGGCAGACAGGCUGGUGUCCCCACCAAUUCUCCCAGGCUGAAAAAAAUUCGACUCCGUCGAAUGAAAUAUGGUUUGGACCUGGUAGAAUAUUAGGGAAAACUGGUGCAGCUCUUCUCGGGUUACUCAGUGUCAAAGAUUUUAGCUGACCUUACCAACGAACCAGGUACCUCUGGUAUCCAUUCCUCCUGGUAGAAAUAUUUUGCUCGUCCAGAAUUCUCAAUGCUAUCGUGUUUCUUCAAAAUUUCUGGCCGUGGACACUCUGGUAAGGGUUCACUCUCAAAGGAAGGAUUAGGCUCAAAUCUCGCUGGGUAUCGUUAUUGGCUUUAUGCAUAACCAGAUUAGAAAUAUUAAAAGGUAGAGAUGAUGCCAUAAUUUAAUCCACUUUCUUUUUUUUUAAAAAAAAGAAACUCGAUUGAUAUGCAUGCAAUGGAUCUGACUCUAAUAACCCUAAAUGCAAAGUUACUCUACUGGACUCUUAAAAUGCUAACCAUCGGUCUGUGGAAGGUAUGCAGAUGAAAAUUUCCAUUUUACCCCUAAUAAAUGCCACAAAGUUUUCUUGACAUAUUUGGCAAAUCGGAUAUGCUUCCAUGGAUAGUCAGAUAAAGGUAUUGGCGAAUACAGUCCAGGGUCAUAUUUUUUUCCACUGAAUUUUAAAUGGUCAUUUCCAUUAGCAUUUUGAUUAUACCUUCCUAGGGUUAUACUGGCAACAUUCCUAGGAGGUACGUCAUGCGGCACGUCUUCCUCAUAUGAUUGGAAAUAAACUCGUUUAAAGGAGUGGUGCCUAGGUAUUAAUGCUGUCUCUAGCCAGGUUAUCGUGUAUGGGCUCGGGUGGUCAACAGCUAUUAGCCCAUCUUUUAAAAUAGCAGAGACUACAUGGGUGAAGCUACCUCUAUCAAUAAAAAUUCGGCGAAGAUCAAUUUCUAAACCUAUGAAGGUAUUAGAGAUAAUGAUACUCGGCCAAUUUAUAUUUUCUUUUGGUUGGGCCGGGGUGCAUUCCAAAUUAAUUACCUUCGGUUCUAGCUGAACUUCCUUAAUUGGACUCGGUUCAUCAUAGGCUUCAGUUAGGUCUAGGUCCGCUAUGUAAAUUUCCUCAGGAUGUUCUUUUUCGGUUACUCCAAGGUUUAGAAGCUCGGAGGGGCAUUGACUUGCAAAGUGACCUUCUCCGGUGCAGUUGAGACAUCUAACUUUGGAGCUACAUAUUUUAGGCUUCUCGACCAGGGUGCUAUAAUUCUUAGAUUUCUCUCGGGGUUGAGAACUCACUGGUGGAGGACAGUUGGGUGCGGCUAAAACAGUUCUGGGUCUGGAAGUCUGACGGAAUUCAGAUCUAAGGCUCGAGAAGCUCAGACUCGGUGUUUCAUGUGGACGGGUCAUAUGAUGUCUAUUGAACCCGAGGUGGUAUGGCUUUUCCUGAUAACCACGUGGGUAAGCCCUAUCAUAACUGAAAUGAUGAUAUCUAUUUCUGAGGUUAUUUGAUAUGGAGGGACUGUUCAUAUCCUCAUGUUUUUCAAGGGAAUCGAAUCGAACACAUAUCUUGCCUAAUUUGUCAUUGAUCUCCUCAAGAGCUGAAAGAACUGGGGAUUUCAUUUUUUUUUUUGAAUGCAACUAAUGCAGAAAAUAAAACUGGUGCCCUAACAGACUGGCUCUGAUACCAAACUGAUGCGGAACAAAAUGCAGAAAAUUCUAUUCCUUUUUAAAUUAAGAAAAUAUGGACCGGUGUCGAUUAAGAAAUCGACACAAAAUUAAGGCACCUCGAUCUAACUUUUAAAUUAUACCGGGUUAAGCAUAAAAUAGGGCUUUUUGUCACAUGAUUACCAAUAACGAUCUACUCCUGAUAAAAGUGGAAAGAUUCUCACCGACACGACGCUUGGAAUCCUGGAAGAGGGAGGAAGGCCCUGAGAUCCGGGAUCGUCGAACGGGCCGCCUUUCGUCUCGGCACACGGUGGACUCCGAGUAGAUCUGAAAACAAGAUUUUUUUUAAGGGAUUAUUUUUUUGUGUGGACUGAAAUGGAACAAGACAAAUUUAAAAUACAAGAUAACUAAUCCGGACGACGGAUCGUCGAAUCGGGAAAGAAAUCCGGAAGGAGAACAAGAGCCGGUGGAUGCGUCGCCUGCGCUAGAAGAACUCGCGGAAGACAGGGAGAAGCCGCGUUCACUUAGGAGAGAAAGAUUUUAGAGAAGGAAGAAAGGUAGGUUCUUGGGUUUGGAAACCAAACUCUCUCAGGCAAUUUGUCAAACAGNNNNNNNNNNNNNNNNNNNNNNNNNNNNNNNNNNNNNNNNNNNNNNNNNNNNNNNUUCUCGAUUUUUACAGCAUUCAUUCGGGAUUCAAUUCCUAGAUUACUCUUUGGUUUUCAAAGCACAGUUGGCAGCGUUGCAUGGGAGAACUCGAUGGGGAUGGGUGACUUGCUGGAAGUGCCUCGGAAAGGGGAAGAGUAGUCCUUGGAAUCAGCUUGCUUUGAAGUGUUGGAAGAACCACCUGUGGGAAGAAUACCUUGGGAAGAAGCCGGUUGCACAUCUUGUGAUGGGAUUUUAAUGAAGACGUGGCUGACUUUGGAAUGUUGGAAAGAGCCACCUGGGGAGAAGACUUGGAGCUUGAAAUGCUUUGGGAAGAAGAACGGGAUGCCUCUUGGGAUUCUUCAAGGAACGGCUGGAGGGCUUGGAACCGGGUGGGUUUUCUUCGGUUUGGGAGCUUCUGCGGGAAGGGAAGAACCUGGGAGAAGAACCGGCUGGGUUCUUGCUUCGGGAAAGGAGGAAAAAGGCUGAACUUCCUCUUCAUCUUCUUCGGCUGGAACUGCAAGGGAAAUCCCGAUGGAAAACGGGGACUCUUCACAGCAUCAUUUCGAAUAUCCUUCGUUGGCUGAAUCGGGGAGAACCGGCUGCAGGCUGGAAUGUCUUCAAUUGCUUCGGUUGGGCUGUAUUGGAGUCCUUUUCGGGAAGAGGAGAACCGGGCUGGGAUGCUUUGUUGGGAUGAGGAAUUCACGAUGGAGCUCUUAAAUGAUGUGAAACCGGGCUGAGGUGCGAUAGAGGAUACCGUGGGAUCCACAUGAUGGGUGUUCUUUGAUGGACACAUCGAGAUGGGGUGGUGGGAUCCAUAGGGUUGCUGGCAUUGGGUUCUUUGGGCUGGUUUCAUUAUGUAACCCAUGUGAACAUGACUUAGUCUAGGCUUGACACAAAUUCAAACCAAAAUUGGACUGGGCUGACAUAACUUGAACUGAACUUCAAAUUAAAAUACUGGAUGUAAAUUAAAAACUCAAGACUCCAAGNNNNNNNNNNNNNNNNNNNNNNNNNNNNNNNNNCAGGCUGGUGUCCCCACCACCGCCGCUCGCCGAUUCUCACCGGAGUUCCUCCUUCCUAGCCCAGUGGUCGCCCUCGGGUCCAAAUUCCAGCAACAAUAUAAGUCAAAUCAGCUUAGCUAUCGCUCCCUGAAUUUUCUUCAUCAAGAUCCUUGGCAUCUAUCACAAAUUUUCCACGACAAUUGUUGUAAGCCUCUAAAAAUUAAAUUCUACAUGCAAUACUAAAUUUUACCAACGACUUCAACAACAAUGACAAAAGAACCCAAGAUCAGCUUAUAAUCCUAGACUUUGAAUUUAAGUUUUACACAUACCCUAUAGUCUCCAACAGACACAAAUAAGGUCUAUUUCUUUGUUCCAAAAAUGGUAAUUGAAAUUACCAAGGAUUCCACCAAUUUGAAUACUCUAGGACCUCAAAAUAAAAUCAUCUCUUUCAACUACUGGGAUAAGCCUGUUUGCAAUAUCCGCAAACAUAUUCUCCAUCUACAUGCCGAGUUCAUUAUGAUCUACAUACAGAUUCAAACCUCAAAGAAUAUUCCAAUUAGAAAUCAUAAAAAAUCUUGUUUAGCCUAUACGUUAAACAACUUCUUAUGAAUGUAUACCCCCAUAUCAAAUUGAGUUUUCAAAUUUAUUAAUGAACAAAUAAUUACAAUGCAUGAUAAUACUCCGUGCCCAAUCCUCUUGUGUUUAUUGUUUUUGUCAAAAUCGUAUUAAUAACCUAACAUACAAAUUGCUCCACCUUAAGAACUCCUAACUAGCUCAUUUAUACUUCACCAAUGGGCAUGACAGGGUGACAUUCAAAUUUUAUUAAAAAUAAAACAAGCAUUAAAAAUAAUAUUUAGAAAAGAUAAUAUGAAAUUAUCAACAAAAAAAAAUGCAAACAAAGAUGCCUUAUAACCUAAUUCUAUCCAACUCUCAACCUUUUCAAUGAGUCCUAAGAAUCCUUGUACCUAGGCAUUUAUGCCACCAUUCAUAAUAUUAAAUAGCCUCAAUAUAGUACCCAAUAACCAUGCGUGUCCAGGCUACCAAAUUGCAAGAAUGCAUCCUCUCAAAAACCUUAGAUACCUUUUUAUGGCAUCCAAACUUAUUCUAAAUUCCAUUAUUUUAUUUUAUUUUAUUUUUUACAACAGCGCCUUACACAACAUGUGCAUGAGUGCGAUCAACAAAAUUUAAAAAAAAGAAGCUGACAGAAAGACUUUUUUUUUGGUACAUCGACGCCUCACACAACAUAACACAUGCAUGAGUGCGACCAAUAAAUUUUUUUUAAAAAAAAAUUGAUGGAAAGAAUAAAAAACGUCCGCUUGAUUUUUCUACGAAAAAUCACCAGAGUGAUGAGCUGCAAAGAAGGCCAUCCAGCCGGUACUGUUUGUGGCUUCGAGAAAACGGGCGGCAAGCCGAAACGGACCUUAAUCGGCUCGGAUCGAGUUCCAUGGCCCAACGAAGACCUGAUCCGACCUGACAAUAAUCGACCUAGGGACAGAGGAAUAAUUUCAUCUCUCCUCCGAUCUCCUCUCCUUUCCGCACUCCUCUGCGGCUUCGCCUCCCACUCGCCCCUCUCUUCAGGAAGCACCCUUCGUCUCCGGCAACCACAUCCUCCGGCGACCUUCUCCAGCGACGAACACGCCCAUUCUGCCCGCGUAUCCACCUUCCACUCCUCCGGCCGCUACCUCCUCUGGCUUCGUCGAGCAAGGGAAGGAUUUGAAGUAACGGCAAGAGAAGGUACACCAGCCCAAUCCUCCUCCUCACAAUGUGGUUUUUGUGAUUAAAUUCUUCUAUGACAAGGUAAAUGUGGGUGGUUAUUUAAUUGGUAUGGUGGGUGGUGGUUUAAUUGGUAUGCCGUAAGAAGGAUUCGAAGUGUGUUUCUUCUUGUGAUUUUGACAAGAAUGCUGGGAUUUUUUACAAUGCCUCGCGGUAUAGGUCAGAUUUUUGAAAAGGAAAUGGAUUCAAUUAAUUAAAUGGACUUGGGAUUUCUCGCGAUGCUCGUAUUUUAUUUCUAUGAGUUCAAUCUGUAUGCUGUAAGAAGGAUUUGAAGUUUAUUUCUUUUGUGAUUUUGAGAAGAGUGUUGCGAUUUUUCACAAUACCUUGUGAAAUAGGUCAAAUUUUUGAAAGCAAAUCUAUAAUUUGAAUUAAUUGAAUCUCAUCGGAUUUUUCAUAAUGCUGGUAUUUGUUUUUAUGAAUUUAUGCAUUAAUCGCACAAUAAACAUGUACUCAGAAUACUGAAGUUAUGCAUGAAUAAUCUACUGGUUGGAUGUUAAUCAAAUCCAGUGGUCCAUGCAGAAGAUAUCUAUAAUGGCUUUAUAACAAAAGAUUGAAAAAAAGAAACUUUAAUAUUGAAACACUUCUUAACAAGCAAUGGCAAGUGAGAAUCUUCUUUGGGAAAGUUAUUGGAGCAAGGUGUCUCCAAUCACCACAUGCUAUUUGGCAGGUAAGAGUUUUCUUUGUGAAAGUAAUUCAUGUUGCCACCAGUGGCGAUUGCAAUUGAGGUUGGAGAGGCAUGGAUCAGAUCAAGACGUCAUGCGUCCUCGUGAUAUGAUCUGUUUCCCUCUCAUCACUUUUCAAACUUGGACUGCUGUUGCCACCGGGGGCCACAGCACUGCUCCACUUCCAAAGAUGGGAAUCUUUUGCCAAAUGCUGAAGUCCCAAUCAGAUAUAAGAAAGCUUCCCAAACCCUACUGCCCAGUCAUGACUUGCCCUGCUAUUCCUUAUCCUAUUUCUCAUCCCCUUCACCACCAUUGCCACUGCAGCUCUGUUGCCUCUGCUUGUAUUUUUCCCUGGAGAUAAGAUUUCUCUACUUCCUAUCUGGCAAAGACUUCUUUUUCUUUCUCCAUUUGGUCAGUAUGAGGGAGUUUGAGGGAUGAAUGCAUUUCCGAUGCUGUUUGUGUUUUAAGAAUCUUAGUUACAAUGAUAAUGGUUCAUAGGAUAAUGGUUCUUGUACCCCUUUUUCUUCAACCUUAUUUUUUGAGGUAUGCUUGAAUGCGGGUGAUUUGUUGUCAUUUGGGAUCAUUUCUGUCCAAAUCAUUGGUCAUAAAUUAAUGAAAGAAACUAUGAGUCACUUAGAAAGUGUUUUGUCUUUCAUCUUCUCGUGAGUCCGUUUAGGAAGCUUCUGAUUUUUUGGUUAGCCACAAUUUAAGUAUGGCUGCUGUUUGACUGUUCUCUUUGGAGGCCCACGAAUAGUGGGUGGCUUCAUUUGCUGCUGCUCCGUUCCUACUGAUUAUCAAACUGAUAAUGAAAGAGCCUUAUGUCAUCUGUUUGGGAUUGGCUUGGAGGGAUGAAUGUAUGAUCUGACAAAGUUUAAAUGUUGUAACUACUGCAACCUGACAUUGACCCUCCUAAUUUGUGUUAAAUUCCUAGCUGAGGUAGCACUAGACAAAACAAGAUCAUGCCAUGAAACCAAGAGCACAAGUAUGUGGGUAGAAUCCUAACUUGUUGGUUUUGUAGUUUGUAUAUGCUACUAAGAGGAAAUGGCUCAGCUAUUUGUGUUUGCUCAUUUUCUGGGUGAACAAUUGGGUGUUUAUAUAAAACCAAGGAAGGCAAACUGGAAACUUGACAACAUUAUCGCUUAUAAUCUCAAUAUAGAGAUAGAUGCAUGAAAUGACAAAAAAUAAGAAGUCUUAUCUUUAUUCAAGGAAUUGGGUUCUUGAAAUCUACAGGUCUUUUGAAUGGUCUAUUUGUGGAUUUAUCUUAAAAAAUGGGUGAAACUGAUCUUUGCCUGUAUUUUCUCCAUGGAAGGUUGGGAUAACUCAUCCUCGGUAACUUGUUUCUAUUUAGAAAGGUUUUUUGUAUAAUAGUUGACUUCACAUUGUAAUUUUGAUCAUUUAUAGAAAUUCUGUUAAAUUUUCCCGUGUCACAUAAUUUGAAAGUUCUGAGUGGUGUAACUGAGAACAAAUUUUUUUUCUUUGAUGCAGUCAAUAUGGCCACCCUUAGAAAUCUGAAAAUUAAGACGGCUACUUGCAGACGCAUCCUUAAGGAGCUUCAUUCUUAUGAGAAAGAAGUUCAGAAAGAAGCUGCAAAAACUGCAGACAUGAAGGAGAAAGGUGCUGACCCUCACGAUCUUAAGCAGCAGGUAGCUGAAAUCAUGAUUUUUUAUUUUUGUUUUACGUUUUAUUAUGAGUAACGUAUUUAUUCUUUACCUUACAUCAGGAUCUUGAACCUUAAGCUAACAUAGGUUUUGUGGAAGUAGUGAUUCAUGCAUUUGUAUUAGCUCUCCCAUUUGUUCACCUGCCACUUACAUAUGGUUAUGCACUAAGCUAGAAACCAUCCUUUUGAUGUAAGAUUUAUUUAACUAGUCACUAGUUUAGAUUUCCUUAUUGAGUUGGCAAUUGUAACAUUCUUUUUAUGGCUAUUAUUAGUGAAUAGUUAAAUGUGUAUUUGCUGACAUUUGCAUCACAUAAUUUAUGCUUUUUUUAAAUAAAAAAAAAUUUGACAAUCCCCCUUAUGUGCCAGCAUAGAGUAUCUCUCCAUGUCCUUUAGUUGUGCCCUCUAUCAUUUUGUACAGUUUUCUGCUUCUGAGUGUACUCAACGCUUGAGCCUACUUAAGAUAAGUCCACAUUUUAGUUUAAAGGAAAUGUUUAAUGGUUGGCAUAUAAGUGGAAAUAUAAGUGGAUUAGGUGAUGUGGCCUUGUUGAGACUUGAAAAGUAUACAUAAUAUGAUUCUGAUGCCACUUUUUGGGUUCAGAUCUGAUAUAGGAGGAUUAUUGGAACACCAAACAGAUGCUAAGAUGAUCCCUGCAGCAGAUUUAACAAAUCUGUUUGCCAGCUUUGAUAGAACAAGCCAAUAGUCUGCUGCAUAACAGCAUUAAUAAAUUUCUGAAGAGGAAUACAAUAGGUAGAAAUGAAAAUGGGGGGACAAUAUUAAUAGAAUUAGUGCAAUAAGAAGUAGAAGAGAAAGCAGAAAGAAGAGAGGAAGUGACCUGCAGCUUCAUAUUUCUUUCAAAGGAACUCAAGUAAAAUAUAAAAAACACACCAUAAGCAUCUGAUCAUAACAGCCUUUUAUUUAGUUUAAUCAGCUAUCUAUCCUACUACAGAUAGGACUAUCCAAUUCUGAAAUGAAACUAAAGGAUCGUCCACUCCUACCUCGCUUAGCAUGUUUUGGAAAACAUGGGUCUAAUUCUAAGGAUUUGCUUCCCAUAUUUUCCUUAGAUGUCCCAAAACCUGCCUUUUUCAAUAUCUAAUUGUCAUCCAGCACAGACAGAUCAAGUAAAUGGCUGCAAGAAAAUUCUGGAACCACUUAAAUUUGCAUGCUUCUUUCCAAAUUGUAAACCUCAAGUGCCAAGGCUGCCCUCUUUUGGAUCUCCAAAAUCCAGAUCCACUUACAAAGUGGAUGUCGGACCUAUUUGUGAACUUCCAUAGUAUUAUAGAUCCUUACUGAGAAUAUGGAAGCAGGAGGUCUAGAAUGCUUGAAUAUUUGCAACUUUGAUUUUAUUAGUUCGACUAUGCCAAUUAAAUGAAGGGAAAUAGCAAAUAUCAAAUUCAAUCUAAAUUCAUUUGCUACAGGGAAAGAGUCAUGGACAAUCAAGCUCCUAUGAGCAAUCAGAAUCCUCAGACAUUUGAUAAGAAGAUGGCUUUCACCAAUAUCCAAGUAGUUAGACGGAAUAUACAUCAAAUGAUAUGGAGUACUUGCAAAAUGAAUAGUUCAUUUUUCGCCUUACCAUAAAAUGUGUUGGAUCUGAAGCUAUCGUCUAGGGAACAUUUUCAAGAGUCAAUAUCAGGCUUAGAUCAACCACUAGAGAACAUCAGAAAGUCAAUGGUGAAGAUUUGAUAUCUUACCAAUAAGUUAAAAGCUCUGACAAGCUCCUGAGCAACGAUCAUGAAGUAACAAUGGUUCUACACUUGAUAAAUCCAGCUUGAUUGAAUAUGAUCAAUUACCUAAUUUAUUUUGAAUUUUUAAGCAAAUUACUGAAUUGCAUCCCAACAUUUCUUUUAACCAAAUCUAGAAAAAUUGAAAUAAAGCCUCAUUGAAACGCUCAUGCUUAAAAGCUUUAUCAUGGUUGGUAGAAAAAACCACAUUCUCAAUUUCUUUAAAACUUACUAAUCUAGAUAGUCAUAGACGGGCUUUAAAACAUGGAAAUCGAAUGCACUUCUUGAAAACUGGGUGGAAUGUGGGACUGAUUAAAGAGUUUGCUGAAAAAUUCAGUUGCUUUACCUUGAACACUCUCUAGCAUGCUCCAUUAUCAAGCCAAAUCAGCCGUUAGGGUUCCAUAAAGAAUCAGCUGCUUUGCCUGCCUUUAGGGUUCCAUAAAGAAUUUCGUCUUCCAGACUUGGACACUCAAGCCGUACUCUGCCUUAAUUGACUUUUCUCCAUAGCCAACCAAGAUCUAUUCAUUUGUGUUUGUAGCAUGCCUGCUCUUAAAGCUCCAUAUGGAAUUUGAGUUUUUUGUCACCCAAAUAUAGCUUACCAAGCACUAUUGCAUAUGCAAUGGAGCUUAAUUCCGACUUAACUUGCUCAAUUUUUUAAGCAGGAAAAUCUAGCUGAUUCUUUUUUUAAGUUUGUUUCUAACUUAACAGCAUUCUGCUUCUACAUUAACCAUGAUUGUUUGACUAUGUGUUCGUAAAUCUUUAAGGUCAUUUAGUGUGUACUUGUAUACUUGCUUGUGCUAAAUUUAUAUCUUUUAUCAACAAAAGCUCUUUAUCAAAUAUUUUUGUUUAAAAUUUAAUACUUAGUAUCCAUUUUCUGGUAUUUAAGAUAAUAAAUGCUCGUUGCCACAUAUGUCAUACCACUGUGCUUGUCUGCAGCAUAAGUGCAUGACAGUGUGUAAGCUCUUUGAAUUCUAUGACCAACAUAAAAAAUAUCAUUAAGCCAUGAAACUGAUGUAGGACCAAUUAGGGAUGCCUUACAAGGGCCUAAGUGGAACUAAUGUAGGGAUUUGAUAAAGGUUUAGGCCAAGAAACCACCCUGCUGUCCUGUUAUGUUCCUAGAAACAAGAUAGAAACAAUUUCUUUUUGGUGAUUGUAAAACUUAAGAUGGUUUUUAAAUCUACUUUUAGAUCGUUAGAGCAUGCAUAGGUCCAAUGAACAAGUUUGUAAAAAAAAGGGAAACUUGUCAAAUGGUAGUGGCUCGUGUUAGACAUUUGACAGAAAUUAAGAUCACAGGUUUUAAAUUCAUGGAAAAAAUGAUUAAGGUGAGAUUUAGAAGAGCAAAUAUGAAGAUGACAUUAGUAGAAUUGAAAAUAAUAGAAGAUAGAUGAAGAGAGAGGAGGAAGAGAAAUAGAGAGAUAAGAAGGGCCAAACCCAGCCUAAAGUAAUUCUACCACUCUCUCAAAACAUCUCAUGUACAAUGCUUUUGCAUCCUGCCCUGAUAGACCCUUUUAUAGACUUGACUCUAGUUUUACAAGUAAACUAGGACUCCUAACCAAGUAAGCUUCUCCAAAAUCUUUUCUAAAAAGCAAAACUGGGAAUACUAGAUAACCCCAUAUAGAACACCUAAAACAGUUCAAAAUCAAAAUUUAAAGGUUUAUGACUUGUCCAGCCAAGUAUAUACUUAAAGUGGGACUCUUUCACACCAAUCCUACUAAAAGUAGAACUCUAAAACCCACUCUAAAUGUCACCUAAAUAAGAAUUCCGAAAAUACAACAAAGUCUUAAGCUAAGCUUUUAUUAUGCACCAUCUGAAAUUUUUAGCUUAAUGUUGGAAGUCACUGUAACCACUUUUAAAUUGUUAUCUUAAAAUAAUUCAAUUGGGCAAAGCAUAGUGGGAUGAUGAGAUUUAACCAACGUCGGCCGAACCGGACCGAACCGCCCGGUUUGGACCGUACCAAGUGGCCCCAGUGGGGGACUAGGCCGGUUCAGCUAUUAAAAUCGGGACCGGUCCCAAACUGGCCGAAACUGGUCCCAAAUCGGCCGGAAAGGGCCAGAACCGGAUCGAACCGACUAGACCUGGUCGGAACCAUUUGAAACCGGCCGAUUUUGUUCAAACUCAGUGGAUCUGGUUCGCACUGAGUCGGGUUGGUUCUAAAUCGGCCCUACUCCCCCUUUCCUUCUUUUGUUAUAAGAGAAUGUUGGAAAAUUCCGAGAAGUUUUUCAAGCCUUCCCAACGUUUAUUCUCUUCUUUAAUCGUCUCCUCUUUUUCCUACAGCGAAAAUCACACUGAUUCAGUACGAUUGAAUAAAGAUCCAAGCCUAAAUAAGGUGUGCUUCCUCUUUCUUAUCUCAUUUUCUCUUUUUUUGGGGGGGGCUCUAAAAAAUAGCUCAAAAUUUGCAAAAUAAGGGAGAUUAUGACAGAAUUUUAAUUUUGGCUUGAUUUUAUGAUAUGUUGUAGAUCUAUAGAUGAUCUACAUGAUAACAUAAAAUUUUUUAAUUUUCAGAUGAUAUAUAAUUUUUAGAUAUCAGUAGGUAUGUUGUACUUUAAAUAUGUCUAAUUGAUUGUAUUAUUUUAUAUUUUUUACCUCACUAGCUGAUUUUAGAAUAUUUCACGUUUGUAGCAUGCAAUAUCUUACUAAUCUUUUUAUAUUUUGUAUCACUUUAAAACAACAUGAUGGAUCAUUUAGAUUAAACCGAGAUCAUAGAAACAUCAAAAAAUAUUAAAAUAACAUCAAAUUAAACUUAAAAUUAUUCAAAAAGUUGAAAAAGAUUGAUUACCAAUUAAUUAAACUUGAAAAACUAGAAAAAAAAUUAGGCGUAUUAGUUUGAAAUUGGCGUGCCCAAGCGUACCGUGUGUCAGUACAAUAUCGAACCGGUACCGUACCGACCCACCCGCCAACCAGUACAGGUCCCGAUACCGCUUCGGCAGACCUUAGAUUUAUCUCAAACUAAUAACUACUUAUUUUAUUUUAUCCAAUGCGUAAAGGACCUAUUUGAAUUUUGAAGCUAAAAUCAUAAUGCUUCUUACCUAUCUAAACUUGCCACCUUGUUGCAUGGCUAUUUUGUCAAUUUUGUUAAAAUAUUCUUUGUUUGGAAGGGGAAAUUUCAAACCUUGAAUAUUAAGGCUAAAUUUUAUAAUUUAGGCAUUAUCAAAUUGUUCUGAUGGAAUUAUGCCAAGGCCGUAUAUUGUUAAAAAGUAGGCUCAUGGUUUAUUCCUAGAAACAUCAAUGACUUUGUUAAAAGGAAUAUGCAAAUUCAACUCAUUGUAGUAAGACUCAAGCAUGUGGAAUAAAAUUGAUAGUUUGAAACAAAAUUGCUUCGACCAUACUACCAUUCCAAAUUCUUCAGUUAUGCUGAAUGGAUAUUUCGACUUUAUGGCAACUUCCUCUUUGGCCUAAUAAAUUAGUAGUAUAUUUCCACCAAACCUUGCCGUAUCGGUUAGUACCAGUGUGUACUGACCGUACCAUACUAUACUGAUAUUGAAUUGAUAUGCAAUACAAGGGACGUAUCAAUACUCGGUACGUCGAACCGACCCUCAUAUUAGGUGUACUGACACUAUAAUAGGAUGGUACUAUUAUGGGGCUCGGUACCAAGAUGGCGAAUUUUUUCCACCAUUAAGAUCAUGCACAUUUGUCAACUAUGAAUUAUGCCUAUUACGACCGUAUCUAUAAUAAAGAGCAUUGCCUUAAGUAAUGUUGUUGAAAUCAGUAUUUGGUUUCAAUUUUCAUAUAUCUUUUUCAAUUUGUUCGUCUUCUUUCUCAUUAAUAUUAUGCUGAUGAAUCAUAAUCUUCUAUUUAAUCAUGCUAGAUGGUAGAUAAAGCUAACCAAUCUUAGGCCAUGUUUGGUUACUAGGAAUGGAAGUUCAGAAUGGUUUCCAUUUCAUUGGGAAAUCCAUUAUUGGAAAUAAUCAGAAUGAUUGAUACCGUUCCUAUGAUUGGAUAAGUCUAGGUAAUCUCAAGGGAAUAAUAUUACUAUAAGUAUGCAAUUAUUAAUAUAAAUUUAAUAUGUUAAUAUUAAUUAUAAUGUUAUAUCUAGAUUUAUUCAAAUUGUGAUCAUGAUUAUCAAAAUAAUGUAGUAUAUAAAUCUAUAAUGUAAUAUAUACUACAUAUAAUGUUAUUUAAUUUAUGAUUGUACAAACUAUAUAAUUAGAGUAGUAUUAUUAUAACAUCAAUAUUAUUAACAUAGUAGUGUUAGUUUUGAUGCUUCAAUAAUAUAUUAAUGUUAUAUUAUAAAUCAUAUAAUUAAAACGAUUAAUAUUAAUAUUAUAUUGUAUUAUGUAAUUAAUAAUUUUGAUAUUCAUAUAUAAUACAAUAUAUUGUGAAUAAUGAUAUUGUUAGUUAUAUAAGAUAUUUGUAGUAAAUUAUUAAUAUAAUACUAUAUAAUAAUUAAUAUGAAUAAUAAAUAAUAAUAUAAUAUUGAUAUAAUAAUAAUUAUAAGGUUAUAUAAUCAAUAGAACUAAAAUAUUAUAAUAUAUAUCAUUAUAUUAUCUAAUGGAUAAUAAAUUACUAUAAUAUAUUAUCGAUAUACAGUUAAUAUUAACAAUAAAAUAUAUAAAAAAGCUCUUCAUCAUUACUCAUGUAUCUAGGAUUAUGGAAAAUGAUACCUAAGCCACCCUCCCUGCCAAGAAUGGUUUUCUCCCUUUUUAUGGGAGUUCAAUACCUGCUAGAAUAGUAUUCCCAUGUCCAAAUGAGUUACUAGCACAUGGGAGGAGGGUGGAUAGAAAACUGAUUCCCAUUCCACCUCCCAAUUCCUGAUUACCAAAUGUGGCCUUAAAAUUAGGCAGUGGCUUAUGGCUAUUUCCAUCACAUGAAAUUGCUAUACAUUCGAUCAGAGAUAUGGGAUGAUGCAAAAAUGAUGUUGAAUAUAAAUUUGAUGGGCUAUCGGGCUCUAGUGAGGUCACAAAAAUGGACAAACCAUUUUUAGUUGACCAUCUACUAAAAGUAGGCAACUGGAAAAUGAAAGGUUGCAGAAGCACCUCUUCAUCAAUAUACCAACAAGUUCACCAUGACAAGUUCUUUAAGGCCCAAGCUUUAAAGAAAUCAGAUAGUGAUAUUAUCUUUUAGUCAGGAAAUUAUGUUUCAGCCCCCAGCUCACUUUGACAAGAGCUUCAAAAAUCAAAACCUUAUGUUUUGUAUUGAUUCUUGAAUGUAAUCUGGCGGAUAACAGUGCUUAAAUUUCCCAGAUUUCAGUAAUGCCUCUGCUAAGAAAUUAAACAAUGAUAGGAGCAUGAAGAGGACAACACAAACUUCAAUAUGAUGAUAGUAAACUUUAAAUGUUCUAAUGAUGGCAGACUAAAUGGUUUGGAAGGGGCCCUGAUAUGAUCUUAUUUGGAUUCAAGAGGUAGUAGUGGGCCAUUCUCAUUCAGAAAUAGUAGGCAUUAAAGCAACAUAUACUGAUUGAUGGGAUAGCCUAGCACAUGUUCUAGGGGUGGUAUGGUACCAAGGAAAAUAAAAUACAAUAUCAAUUUUGCACAAUUUAUUGAAAGAAAUUUGACUAACUUGAUAAAACUAUUUGAUUAAAUUAUUUAAUGUCAUACAAUAUUGCUUGAGUAUGAUUUCAUCUAUUAUUGAUUAAACUAGGAAAAACAAAAAAGAAAGUUUUUCCCCAACCUGCAUAAUGUUAAUUAAACAUAAGAAAGGGGCUCAUCCUUGAAGCAUCAUAGUAUAUGUGAUCAAUAAUACUCAUUAUUUUUAAUAAAUCAUGAAUUGAGUUCCAAUUUUGGAGCAGGAGAACGUGUUGGCAGAGUCAAGGAUGAUGGUUCCUGAUUGCUACAAACGAUUGGAAGCUGCACUUGCAGAGUUAAAAGGAACACUGGUAUAUAUACUUUGCCACAGACAAAUACCAUGACAUCGUGAAUUAAAUCUUACUGAUAUUAUUCUAUUGCAGGCUGAAAUGAAGGAGUCCAACCUGCAAUGUGUUGAAAUCGAAGAAGCUGAUAGUGUGAUUACAGAAGUUGAAGCAUCAUUUCCAACAUCAGAGGAUUAGAAGUUAAACGAAUUGAGCAUUAUGACAUUCAAAGUUCUGAUAUAUGGGCUGCCCCACAUGUACUUAUAUUUUAUGUGGCUUAUCAUGAAUGCUAGUUCCUUCGGGUGUUGGAUCUUUGUAUUUGUCUAAUUUUACCAGGAUUGCAUUCACUGAUAAGUAACUUCCCUUCAAGAUCUUUUUAUGUUAGUUUUACAUUAUCCAAAUCUUUUUUCAUCCUCCUAUCUUGCUUCCACUCUAACCCUAACAAGAAGCGGUGGCAUCUCACCAUCCUUGUGCGCAAUCGCUGGAUCAAAGACCUACGUGCUGAGUUUGUUUUGCAGGAUGCCGGUUGUCAUUACUCAUUAAUAUGUCUUCUAAUUUUUGAUUGUUAGACCAUUCCUUCCCUCCAGCAUUUUGGCAGCUAUAUUGCACUGCAGGAUAUCACUAUUUACCUCCCUUUUCUAUGCAGAUCAAAUUUAGGCACUUUCAUUCAUCAUAUAUCUCGAUUCGCCUCAAAUAUGCUGUUGAAAGGAGUCCAUGGUUGGAAUUACUUGCUUUUGUUUUGUUCUUGUCAAGCCAGAUCCCAUAUGAGGGAUGAGUAUAUUUGAAUUCUAUGUCAGACCUGGGUUGAACAUUUAGAUUUAGACAGCAGGGUACAUAUUAGAUUGUCUGGAUGGAUGACUUAACCAUCAUUAUAACAUGACCUUUUAUCAACUUUGAGUAAACUAUGCUUUUGUAUGUGUGCGUGUGUGCAUGUGAUGCGAGUUUCGUAAUGACAAUAUAUCUCCCAUAUUUUCUGUUCAAGUUAAUAUCAGCAUUUCAUGACUCUUUUGAUUGCAAAAAUAGUGCCUUCCUAACAACAAAAUGACCACCUCUAAAGGGUUUUUUAGUUACUAAUAACUAAUUAUACAAGUAAGCAUAUUCCACCAACAUAAUAGUAGAAUCUUUAUUGUGUAUUUAUGUCUAAAAUGUACAACCAUAUCAAGUUUAUAGAUAAAUGUCAUUUUCAGGUAAGUUGAAAUGUAUAUACAACUAGUAUUCAUAAUAAAUCCUCAGAAUGUUAAUUUUUCAUUAUUCACGAAAUUAUCCAAACAAGUACAGCUCGAGCUGUAAGUGUCUUUAACAGCACCGCUGCAAAAGAGAACGCAAAUAAAAAAGAAGAGAAUUGGGUUGCAGACUGGGUGGCCACCUAUAUGGCCAACCACACCGGCAGUACCAUUUGGAUAGGGGUCGAGGAGUUGCCUCGGAAGCUUCAUGAUAUUUUGUUUUCUGAUUUUAUUUGGUGUAUUCGUGCACGUAUGUAUGAAUUAUCCAUUAUAAUAAAAAUAAAAAAUAAAAAAAGAAAGAAAGAGGAGAAACGUUAUCCUUUUCACACCGUCAUCACCUACGUCAAACCAUCAGAGUAGAAUAUUGAGGAAAUGAAGAAAUUUGAUAACUAACUUUGUUACAAGGUAUUAAGUUUAUUAGAAUUACAUCCUAUUCUAAAUGCAAAAGUUUAAAGUGUCCCCAUCUUAACUCAAUGACCAAAUGACACUUCCUAACAUCAUAUUAGAGGCUAAAUUCUAAUUAUUGGCAUCUCAACAUAACUUCCCUAAGAGGUUUCAAAUCCCAAUGCCAUGUAUAUGGUUGCAUCCUUAGUAGGAAGCAUGGUGCCACUAGGUAAUGGGGCUUCCUCUCAGAGGCUUUCUAACACAAGCCAACCCAAUCGAAGGUUAAUGUGGCUCGUUUAUAAGUCAAGCUUGGAAUAAGUUUGGUAGGAGAUAGGAAACUUUGGUUCCUGAGUAAAUUGUUGAAUAAAUUAGAAGUUUGUUUUGUUUGUUAGAUCAAACGAUAAGUCCAAUUAAGCAUAUUAUGAUUGCUCGGCGGAAAAAGCAUAUUACCAAGUUGAUCCCGGGCGUGAUAACAAUUUCGCUUGCAUCCUAGAAAUAACAUUUUCCUCCAAGAAAAGAAGAAAAAUGGACUUGCAACAUCUAAAAUAAGAAAAAAGAAAACAUGUAAAAUAAAAAAAAAUAAUGGUCUAAAUAAUUGCAUGAUGGCUAGUCUCAUUUAGUCAUCUUAUAUUACCUUUCUGCACAUCAACCCGUGAUUUAUAAGACAAUUCCAUUCAAGCACUUGAUUAACAAAUGUAGAAUUUAAAACACCGCUUCAAGUUGCAUGGUGAUUGAUGACUAUAUAAAUAUGAGAUGCUAUAAUAAUUUAAAUUAAUAGCAAUAGAAUAACUUAAGUAAAGAUGGUCCAAGUCAAUUCUUACAAAUCCUUGCUUGCAUGUGUCAAUCCAUAUUUUAAACAUUAAAAUACUUGAACUUUUAAGCACUUUUAUUGACAAUUAUAUCAAUAAUAGAAAAUUUAGGAUUAAAGACGAAAAACUUUGUGUCACAUAUGAACCACAUUCAAGAUGGAAAUACAAUUACUUGGUGCCUAUUAGCGAUCUAAUAACCAGAUGUUGAAUUCAAUCAUGCUAGAUGCCUAAACCAAAAUGGUUGGUAGAUCGGUCGAGAGGGGAGAAGGGCUACCUGAUUUGUACCUGAAUCUAAGUAACAAUUUAUACACAUAUCAAUGGUAGUUGAAGAAAAAUGGGUUUCAUACUUUCAUACCAGUGUCUAUCACUUCAUGCCAAUUCAUAUCAGCCGAUGUUGGUCCAUAUGUUUGCAUUCCGGUUCAUAGUAGUUAGCACUAUACAUGAAUUGGAAAUUGACAUUGUUUUCAAAUUAAUGACAAGUUGAUGAAAAUGUUAUCAUGGUAACAAGGGCAUGUCAAGGGCAUCCACUUAAUCUUUGUUAUAUUUGACAUCAUUAAUCAUUGAAAUAUGUUGUCUUCUGUAAAGAAUUGUAAUAUCUAUAAUCCCUCUUUAUAAGCAAAUAAUUAUUACAAAUAAUUAUUCAUACAAAUUCAGUUCCUUUUCCAAAUAUACUUGAUUUUUUUCAAAACAAUAUUUUACUAUGCUUGAUUAAUUAAAAGGGUUUCACCUUUUUUUUAUUUUUAGAAUUACUUUAGUUCUAAUUAUUGCUCACACUAUACAGGUUUGAUAUCAUUUUAUAAAUAAUUAGAAGUACCAUGAUGUACAUGAUAAGAAGCAUCUCACUCUAAGGCUUUCCUGUUAAAGUAUCAAUUAAUUAAAAAACUAAAAUAUCUUAAAAAUAUCAUCAAAAUUAUCCAACUAACUUCUGGUUAUAGAAUCAUACAAAACUUCCCUCAGUCACCAAACUAAAACCUUGCAACGACAAUAUAAGAUCUCCAAUAUCUUAAUCCAUUAAAUGGAAAUUAAUUAGCCUUUUAAUAUUUCAUAUAUGAUCCUAAUUAAGCAUGAGAACACUUGAUAGAAUUUUCAAUUUUGAAGUUGGUUUUCUUCCUAUUUUGUAGUGAAGUUACUUAGCAAGACUGCAAAAGUAAUCUCAAAUACAAUUUUGCUUAGCCAUGGACGUUGUGAAGAAUCUUUGCAAAUUUUACCAAAAAAGAAAAAUCUUUACACUCCAGGAUAGUGGCAGCGGGUGACUGAUAGUUAUUUGACACAUCAGUUCUGGGGGCGGAGUUGCGAGUUGCCUGGGCAGGUCUUCGCCAUGCGCAGCAGGUGCUGCAGGCCGGUUCGAUCAUCCUGAAGGCGACUCGGCCACGGUCAUUGGGUGGAUUCGGAGGGGGCCGAAUGGUGAGAGCACGGACCAUCCCCUGAUCCGGGACAUAAGGAUGAUGAUGAGGGAUGGGAUGGCCUUCGAGGCCAAGCAUGUAUUCAGACAGGCUAACAGGACGGCUGACUGGGUGGCUGCCUAUGCAGCCCACCACUCAGGACACACCCUGUGGUCAGGAGAGGGGGAGCUGCCACUGACACUCCGCAAGCUUGUGUUUUUUGAUUUUCUUGGGUGUAUUCGUACGCGCAUUGUAUGAAAAACCCGUCAAAGCAAAAAAAAAAAGGAAAAGAAAAAUCUUUGCAACUAUUCAUUUGCUUGCAAGUCAUUUGCAACUUGCAAUUCAAUUUGCAAAAAAGACCUUGGUAGUUGCAUAGGGGAUUGAAGUGAAAGAUUAUAACAAUUAUUUUUGCAACUUAAGGGGCAAAUCUUAUCCCACAAUCUUGGAUCCGAUCACUCUCUCACCUUCUUAUGUUGCAACUCAAAUUUUGAGAAGACAAAAUUACAAAUACCAAUUAACUCCUUUGAAAUACUUGACACUAGUUUAUCUUUCACAUAUAUUAGAAAGUACUUGAUAUUUUCUUAUAGUAAAAUACCACCAGCAUCAGAUUAUUUAUUUUUACGAAAUAACAGAAACUACAAACUUGAAUAAAGAAAAAAUAGGCCUCUGGCCUCACACCUGUUGAUCAUAAGCAUUACAAGUUAUAACACCCAGGUUUUAGACCCUUGUUUCGUAUGCUGUCAAACUCCCUUACCACAUAAGGUUCGGAGAAGUUUAUACAUUCAUCUACCUCCAAAGAAAGAGAAUUAGUGCAGAGGAAAAUCCUCUAAUUAUAAAUUUGAGGCAUUAGAUUGAUUGAUUGUUGAAGGGUCUCUUUACAAAUUAUAAGUUUUACUUAUUCAUACUAACCGACAAUAACUGUACGCUCUGAUGGUUGUUCUCCCAUCUAGCCUCUACUCUUGGUAGUUGCAGUAACCGACAUCAAUUAUCCCCUACCAUGCAUGUUCGUUAGCAUGGUUUCUUUACGAUUGUCAAAUUGAUCAUCAUGUCGUUUUUGCCUAACCUGUAGUUUUGUAUUUGGACUAUCCCUAAGACUGCUUCAGUCAUCUUAGUCUAUUUCUGCAUAUGCAGUUGAUCACGGUCAAGUCUAGGCUUUUGGCCUGCAUUUGACUAAAUUCUUCUUCAUUGGUCUAUGCCUCUAUACUUGAUGAAAUUUAUCAUAGUUGAACUCUCCGUGGUUUGGCAAGGGUCACAUGAUUCUCACAUGUUCUGAUUUCAUCACACUUGAUCCAUGUGGCACUUGAUCUUGACUGCCCGCUGGAUUGUUGAGACGGAGUGCUGUAAACAGCAGGGAUGGGGAUUAGACAUAAAAUACCCAUUGAUGGGGGAAACAUUUGAUACCUUGACCUCGGACAGAUAGACCUCGGCAACCUUGGUACAAACAAGGUAGGCAACUUCGGCUCCAGCCAAGGAGCCAAUAGAUCGAGGUGAAUAACUUUGCCUUCGACCAAGGAGCCUAUCGACACGUACCAAUAGGGAUUGACAGUCUUGGCAAUCGGUUGUCGUGACAGCGACUGGCUAUUACGACAGCUCUGCAUCUGGCGCACGGUCAGUACUGUACAUCGCUAUACCGAGAUCAUACUACUGACUGCUACCUGACCACUGGUUUACGCCGACCUAGAUAACGACCAAACCGACUCCCCUAUGUAAAAAAAAAGUUUGGGGGACCUCAGAUAUGGCAUGCAUAAUACAAUAUCAUUCAUAAAGAACCACCCUCUGGUGAAAUUUCUCUCUUCCAUACAAUUGUCUCUCUAUUCUGACUUAGGCAUCGGAGAGUCUCCCGUCAGAAACUCGCCGGCAAGCGAACUUCUUACAGGACACCCUCCGGAGAAAGCCAGCUCGACCACUCCUCGGCCACUUCAUUUGCUUGGUUCUUGCCAACCUCAAGCCAGCCAAGCAGCGCUCCGACCUUGAUCUAGAAUUCAGUGACAACAGAUUGGCUCUAGAAGGAGAUCCCCCAGCUACAUCAACAUCAAUCAAAGGAAGAGAAAGCCAGCAUGUGGUCACGAGGAGCACACGGUGUGUCUCAUGUUUUGCAAUGCCAUGCUCCAACCUCCCGAGGGUCGUUGUAGAGCACGGAACCUGCUCCGCUAGAUGAACCCACCGUGCCUAUGGGCAAUGAGCAGUUCAACUACUCAUUCAAUAGGUGCAGGAGCUGACCACAGCGGUCUAGGACCUGCAGCAAGUAGUGGCACUACCGGAGCCAGUCCAGCCAAAAUUCAUUCAGCCCAGCCACAACUCUCUGUCGUCGGUGCACUGCAUGCGUCUGGUCAGCCACCACCCUUGAGGCCAAGACUCAAAGUGGUCUCGCUAGAGUCGACACACUUAGAAGAGCAGCCCUGGUCGGGAUGGGAAACAACGACUCUAAGCCUCCAUUCCGGCAAAAACUCUACUUUGAGCCUCUCACCUCCUCGCCAUGUGGAGGCUUCACCCUAGUGGGACGCCUACCUCGAUAGGAGAAUCGAGGAGAUGGGCCGACAGAUUCAGGCUCCAAAGGACAGACUCUGAGGGCGAUCAAUGACCUCAACUUCUUCUCAGAGAGCCCCACUUCAAUUCAAGAUGCCCAAAGUAGAGCCAUACAAUGGCAUCUCAGAUCCGGCACAUGGAUGGGUCAUCAAGCCAGGGGGCAGUGGGGCUGGACUCAUACUCACCAGCCCGGAUGGAUGAUCAUAGAGUAUGCUUUAUGGUUUGAAUUUUCGAACUUAAAUAAUGAGGCUGAAUACGAAAAUAGGGGCUUGAUCCCUUAAAUCACGAAAUCCAUGGUAUCUAGGUGACUGGAACUUCGGCCAUGGAUUCAAGCUGUUGUAGGAAAUCGAAGAAAGAUCCGGACGACGAGUGCCGAUGGUAAAAACAACUAGAACAAGAAGAAAAAGAGCUGAUUUACCAAAAUAGGGGAAAUAAGGCAUCGCCCUUCUUAGCCAAAAUUUGGUGAUCACAACUGGAAUUAAGGCUCUAAGGAAAACAAAAGAAGGAGAGGAGGAUCAACUAAGGGAUGUCGAGUUCUUACCUAACUUCUAAUGGCGAUUAGCCAUGGACACGGCUGGUAAUGGCCGACAAUUGGGGAAGAAAACCAAGAACAUCCAACGGUGAGAAGUCCGAUCAGCACUGAGGUCACUGGUGGGUUGGAAGAGAGGUUGGGUGGGCAUUAAAUAGAGCUCAGACAAGGCAGGAAUCCGCUCCAAGGUCAGAUUCCGUCCAACGAACUUGAGAGGAAGAAGACUCCUACCGAGAGUCCUCUCCCUCUUCGUACAUGCCAAACACAUGCGCCUCUCUUUUUUUUGGGGGGGGGCGUUAAUGUUUACUGGACUGGUCAAGUGGAUCAGGCUCCGCUCUCUAAUAGGACUGGGUGUUACAAUAUAUUAUCACAUAAUGAAGUUAUGACAAGAAAAAGAUAGAGAUAAUGACAAACUAGUUGUCUUUUUACACAUCUCAUAUCCUUGCACACCUCUUUGCCAACCUUGGUGGUCGGAUAUUGGAGUCAAGGUUGGUCAGAUAUUGGAGUCAAGCUGAGCUUCUAGGAAAUCUCACCUUGAAUUCCAUCAUAAGUCCCAUAAGAACUCUACUAGAGCAGAGGGUAUCUUAUAAACUCUCAUCAGAGUUGUUGGUACAAAAGUCUAGAAAAAUGGAUUUCCAUUGGAUUAAUCUCCUUAUCAAACACUAAAGGAGCCAUCAAUCAGUCAAGUUAUAAAGUUGAGAAAAAGGGAAGGCAACAUUAAGGAAUUGUCUCUUAGAGCCGUAUCAUCCGUAUGUAAAAGAUUGAGAUUUUAAAACAAUAAGAAAAAGGAGACACUAUUUUACAUUUCCAAUCUUUAUAGUUCCUUAUAAAAGGUAGCUCCUCUUUCUUUCCAUUUUUAUUAUUUCAUAGGAACCCCAUUUCAUUUAUUUCUUUUGCUUUUACAAGCUAUGUAGGUGGACCUCCUGCACUUUUGAAGGAGUAAGUGGAAUGUAGGCAAGGUCAAAAAAGAAUGUCAUGGCUUUAGCUGAAGAAUGAGAAGAGUGUUGGCAUCCGUUCAAUUCAAAACUGUAAAAAGUUAGUGGGUGUUAUUAGUCAUUUAUUGUUGGCAUCCGUUCAAAACUAAUGGGUGAUAUUAGUCAUUAGUAUAUAGAAGAGAAAGGGUCAUCCACUUCCUUCUAUUUUAUGGCUGAAGGUGGACAUUAGUUACCCACUUUGUUUGUUUUAAUUGCAUUAAAUUUAGAGAGGCUUUUCAGCUAGUCCUUGUACCCUAUAAAAGAGUGCUUUGUAUCUUUGAAUUUUAUUAAGAAAAAUUUGAAGAAAGAAAAUUAGUAGAAUUCCCAUUCUCUUCCUCCUCUUUAUAUUCUUGAGUGCCUGUUCAUCAUCUAUCAAUUCUCUUCUCCACUUUGAAAUAGUGAGAUUGAUUGAGUGCUUCUUUCUUCUUAUUUUUAUCAGGUAUCAGAGUGGGAUGAAUUCCUUCCAGCAACAAGUUCCUAAGUUAUCAAAGGAUAACUAUGGUUCAUGGUGUAUCCAAAUGAAAGCCUUGUUUGGAUCUCAAGAUCUUUGGGAGUUAAUGGUUUUGUGGAAUCCACUGACGAGCAAGAGGCUGCAUAUACAGCAGAUGAGAAGAAGGCUAUUAGGGAGCAGAGGAAGAAGGAUAAAAAAGCUUUGUUUAUACUCUAUCAAGGGUUGGACGAAGCUACCUUCGAAAAGGUUGCUGAAGCAACAACAAGCAAAGAAGCAUGGGAGAUUCUAGUUUCCAUCUUCAAAGGAGAUGAUCGAGUGAAGCGGAUUCGCCUCCAAGCAUUGCAAGGCGAGUUUGAAGCUCUCCACAUGAAGGAUGGCGAAUCAGUGUCCGAUUAUUUUUCACAGUUGCUAAUAAUUGUGAAUGGCUUGAAGAGAAAUGGUGAGAAGCUAGAUGACAUUCGUGUCGUCGAGAAGGUACUUCAAUCCCUUUCCUCUAACUUUGAGCAUGUAGUUGUAGCUAUCGAAGAGUCUAAGGACUUAGAGAUAGUUACAAUUAAAGAAUUAUUGGGUUCACUACAAGUACAUGAGCAAAGGAUGUAGAAGAAAUCCAAUCCAGCUAUAUUGGAACAAGCAUUAGAGUCAAAACUGACUCUAAAUGAUCAAAGAAAAUCUACCUCCAACCGUGGUCGAGGCAGAGGCCAAGGGCGUGGUACUCCUCAACAAUCAAGCCAAAGUUAGCAGGGGAAUCAAAGCUUUAGAGGUCGAGGACGAGGACGAGGCCGUAACCAUGGUAGAGGAAGAUCCUAUGGACAUGGAGCCAAUAGGAAUGUCCAAUGUUAUAAUUGCAAUAAUUUUGGACACUACGCCUCCGAUUGUCGGUCCAAAAUUGAUGAACAAGCCAAUGUUGCAGAGGCAUCACAUGAUGUAGGUAAUGAAUCUAUCCUACUUCUUGCACAUGAUGAUUCACAUACUUCAUAUGAAAAUUGGUAUCUUGAUUCUGGGGCAAGUAAUCAUAUGUGUGGCAAGAAAGAAUUGUUUGUAAAACUCAUGAAAGAAGUCCACGGAAAGGUGAACUUGGGAGAUUCCUCCAAACUAUCAGUUGAAGGCAAAGAAAAAAUAAAAAUCUAUCAGAAGGAUGGUAAGAAUGGGUAUAUCUCUGAUGUGUAUUAUGUACCUAAUAUGAAAAGCAAUAUUCUUAACAUUGGACAGCUUGUAGAAAAGGGACAUAACAUACAAAUGAGAGACAACUCUCUCAUUUUGAAAGAUACAAGUGGAAGAAUCAUCGCAUAUAUUCCGAUGACCCAAAAUCGUAUGUUCCCACUUCAUCUCAACACAAAGUCAGAGAAAUGCUUCUAUGGACUCAAAGAAAGUGAGUCAUGGAAGUGGCAUCAUCGUCUUGGGCAUCUUCACUUUAGCGGUCUAAAACUGCUAUCUUCAUCAAGCAUGGUGCAUGGGUUACCAAUGAUCAAGCUGCCAAGUAACACUUGUGAUGUAUGUAUACUUGGCAAACAAGCACGGCUUCCUUUUUCCAGCGGCAAAUCAUGGAGAGCAAUGGCACCACUUCAAUUGAUCCACACUGACAUAUGUGGACCUAUUGAACCUGAGUCUCUAGGAGGUAAUAGAUACUUUAUUACUUUCAUUGACGACUUCAGCAGAAAAUUAUGGGUUUAUUUUCUUAAAGAAAAGUCAGCUGCUUUUGUUGUAUUCAAAAACUAUAAAGCCCAUGUAGAAAAAGAAAGUGGUCACAAAAUUGUAACUCUCCAUUCUGAUCGAGGUGGAGAAUACACCUCAAAAGUAUUUAAUGAGUAUUGCAAGAAAGAAGGCAUAAAACAUCAAUAUACAGUGGCAUACACCCCACAGCAAAAUGGGAUCGCUGAAAGAAAGAAUCACACGAUUCUUAAUAUGACAAGAACUAUGCUCAAGGAGAAAGAAUUGCCACAGCAAUUCUGGGCGGAAGCUGUGGCGUGCUCAACAUAUGUGCUGAACCGAUGUCCUACCAAAAGUGUGAAGCACAUGACACCUCAAAAGGCGUGGAGCGGCUACAAACCAACUAUUGCACACCUAAGAAUUUUUGGGUGUAUUGCAUAUUCUCAAGUUCCCAAGCCCAACAGAAAAAAGCUGGAUAAUCGUGGUGAGAAAUGCAUCUUUCUUGGCUAUAGUGAAGAAUCGAAAGCAUACAAGCUCUAUAAUCCACUAACAAAGAAAUUAGUGGUUAGUAGAGAUGUUAUCUUUGAUGAAGAUAAAGCAUGGAGCUGGAAUGAUGAUGAGAAAGCCAAAGAGCAGCAAGUGUUUGAAGAACUUGAAGAACCUCCAACACAAGUUCCACCAAGUAUACCACCAUCUCCUCAACAUGACACACCUUCUCCUAGAAGAAACUCACCAUCUUCAACAGAAAGCAGUAGCAACAGAUCUUCCAUACACCAGAGUCCCAUCAAAAUGAGAAGUCUCGUGGAGAUUUAUAAUCAAAGAGAAGAAGACGAAGAGACCAACCUCUUCUGUUUAUAUACUGAUCAUAAACCUCUCACUUUUCAAGAAGCUGUAGAAGAAGAAUGUUGGCAAUCAGCAAUGGAGGAGGAGAUUCAUGCUAUUCAGAAGAAUGACACUUGGGAGUUGACAACACUUCCAAUAAAUCAAAAAGCUAUUGGUGUUAAGAUCAAACGUACUGCUGAGGGAGAAGUUUCUCGUUACAAGGCGAGACUAGUUGCUAAAGGCUACAAGCAGAAGUACGACAUCGACUACGAAGAGGUUUUUGCACCAGUUGCAAGACUUGACACGGUGAGAUUAUUGAUUGCACUUGCCGCUCAUCAUAAUUUGAAAAUAUAUCAGCUUGAUGUCAAAUCAGCUUUUCUAUAUGGCAUUCUUG
Molecule: long non-coding RNA, 62742 nt
Filed under: Phoenix dactylifera (date palm)
Lineage: Eukaryota; Viridiplantae; Streptophyta; Magnoliopsida; Arecales; Arecaceae
Description: long non-coding RNA (PDAC_LNC005193)
Source: RNAcentral